UUUUCUUUCUUAGUUUUGUAUGAAAGGGCAAUUUAGGAUUUUUGAAAGAAAAUCUAAAUUCUUGGACCUAUAUUGUUACUAAACAGUAAAAAUAGAGGAGGUAUAUCUAAUUUUUAAAACCUGAGGGGAGCUCUUCGUAAUUAUGAAAAAUCUCAGAGGAGGUUUGUGAAAUUAUCCCGACUGAAAUUGCCUUAUCAUGAGUUACUUUUCUUAGCUGUCUGCAACAGUUUUGAGCUGUUCAUCUUUCUUCAAUAUCAUCAACCUAGCUACUGCAUCUUUGUCCUGAAUCUAAACCUCAACUAUUCUGUAUUCACAACUCUGAAUGGUCUAAUGCAACAUGUUCCCAGGGAUAAGAACUUGGUUGUUUAGGCCAAUUCUGAUGCUUUCUUGCACUUCUUACCUCGCUUGCUUUUCCACAGGAUCAGACACCAUCUCAUCAGGCCAAUUCCUCUUUUCAAACCAGACCAUUAUCUCUAAAGAAGGAAAUUUUGAACUUGGUUUCUUCAUUCCAGGAAAUUCUAGCAACUGUUACGUUGGAGUAUGGUACAAGAAGAUAGCGGCUCGCACCAUAGUUUGGGUUGCAAACAGAGAGAACCCAAUUGAUUAUUCGUUUUACAGUACAUCGUUCUUGGCACUGCAAAAUGGAAGCCUGUAUAUCUUCAGUAACAAGAACAAUAUAGUCUGAAGUACAAGUUCUAGUUCAAACAUCACAACCUCAAAUACCACUCAGGCAAUACUUCUUGAUAAUGGAAAUCUUGUUUUGGCGAGUGGGAUUGGUGUUAUAUGGCAGAGCUUUGAUUAUCCCACGGAUACGUGGCUACCAGGCGGAAAGAUUGGAUUCAGUAGGAUUACUAACGCCACAAUAGUACUUACUUCCUGGAAGAACAAGGAAAAUCCAGCUCAAGGUCUCUAUUCAUUAGGCAUGGACCCCACCAGCAAUGGUGAGAUUUUCAUAUGGCGGAACAGUAACAAAUUGUGGAGGUCUGGAGGCUGGCAAGCUGGUAGUUUUCCUUCUAUGGAAACGAGUAUUGACGAUAGUUACAAUUUCAGCUACAACUCAAAUGAUGAGGGUAAAUACUUGGUAUACAAUGGCAAUAAAUCCAUCAUAUCUAGAAUUGUUAUCGAUAUUUCUGGGACAAUGAGGCAAUACUUUUGGUUGCCAAGGUUACAAAAAUGGACUAUAUUUAGGUCUUUACCUUCGUCGCUUUGUGACAUAUACUCUUCUUGUGGGGCUUUUGGGUAUUGUGACAUCAGUAGUAGUCCAUCUUGUUGCUGUUUGCCAGGUUUUGAACCCCAGUUCAAGCAAGAUUGGGAUUUGCUAGACUUUUCUGGGGGAUGUAUGAGGAAAAAGCCUAUAAAUUGUGCCACAGGCCAAACAGGAUUUCUAUCGAUACCUACCAUGAGGCUGCCUGCAUACUCAGAAUCACUAGAAGUAGGACGGGCUGAAAUAUGUGAGUUUGCUUGUUCAUUCAACUGCUCCUGCAGUGCUUUUUCCUAUAGUAGCGGUGGAGGUUGUUCAUUGUGGCUUGGUAAUCUGUUGGACAUAGAAAAACAACAGAAUGGAAGUACUGGUGGAGACCUCUAUCUUAAACUUGAUUUGUCUGAGCUUCCUGCUAAAGGUUAGACGCUUCCUUACCGCAUAUUAUGGCCAACUAUGACUUGCCACCAAAUAUCUUUUUCCCAAUUUUCUAGGUCAUAAGAAAUCAUUACGAGUAGCUCUGGCAGCAUCUAUUACUCCUGCAAUUUUCAUAAGCUGUUGUUUCUUUUAUUGUUUGUGGAGAAGAAAGUACAAACAAAAAGGUAUGUUGUUCCUUGUCAUUUAAUGACGCAUGUGUUACUUUUCUUCCCUGCAAUUGGUGACCAAAUUUGCUUCCAGAUUGCCACAUUGGUAUUCUGUCGUAUUGAUAUAAUGGUGUCCUUGAUCAUAUUUGAACAGGGAAUAUAGUACAUCAUCAGAAUCUGUUUCUUCUUGAUUUAAGUAGUAAUAGGGCAAAGGAUAACAAUGGUGCCACAGCCAAAGAUAGUCGGGGAGAAGUGAAGAUUGAGAGCAUUGGGCUGCCAGUGUUCAGUUUUUCAAGCAUUGUUGCUGUCACUAAUAAUUUCUCCUCUGAAAAUAAGCUUGGCGAAGGUGGUUUUGGACCAGUUUACAAGGUAGUCAUUGAGUCUCUGACCGAAUUUUGACUAGGGACAGCAUAAGAAGUUUAUCGAAAAAGAAUAAGAAGGAACAAACAGUGAUGCCACAAAGUAGCUUGCUUCUACCAAAAAAAGAAAAGUAGCUUGGUGCAUGAUUAUGGCGGUUCUUUAUUAUUAGUAUUAUCCUAUGUUCUUGAUAUAAUUCUGAAUCUUCACUAAUACCAUUGGCGCCCAAACUUUGAAUAGGUUUUGGGUUUUUCAUUAAAUUUACUUCUGUGAAAAGCUCAUCUGUUUGUAUCUGCAUAAUUCUGCGGAUAUCUAAGGACGUGCAAGUAAGAUUCACGAUUCACCCGCUAGUCCUUUUGGGAUAUUCAGGGAAGAUUACAGAGUGGUGAACUAGUGGCUGUGAAAAGGCUUUCUAAAAAGUCGGGACAAGGCUUCGAAGAGUUCAAAAAUGAAACAGAAUUGAUUGCAGAACUUCAACACAGAAAUCUUGUUAGGAUCUUAGGAUGUUGCCUUGAACAAGACGAAAAGAUAUUAAUCUACGAGUACAUGCCCAACAAAAGCCUGGAUACUUUUCUCUUUGGUAUGUAACAUCUUGUCCAUCUUUGUCAUCCCUUAUCUGCUCGUACUCGAUUCUGCUAUCAGAAUUUGUUAUUCUCACUACUGCACAUAUCCUUAGAGCCUAAGCAAGAGUUUUUGGAUUGGCAACAACGUAUUCGCAUAAUUGACGGUAUUGCACAAGGCCUUCUUUACCUCCAUCAGUAUUCAAGGAUACGAAUUGUUCACAGAGGUCUGAAAGCUAGCAACAUUUUAUUAGAUGGAGAUAUGGACCCUAAAAUAUCUGAUUUUGGAUUGGCAAGAAUUUUUGGUUUAAAUGAAUUGCAAGCAAAUACAAAUCGGAUUGUUGGAACUUAGUAAGUGUGUACCUUCAAAUGCUUUUUCUACUGAGCCGCACAUCCUAGAUUGUCAUUCCAGAUCCUCUUGGCUAAUCAUCCUUUCCAUUUUUUCAGUGGUUAUAUGUCCCCAGAAUAUGUCAUGGAAGGACUUUUCUCUGUAAAGUUCGAUGUCUUUGCCUUUGGAAUUCUGGUUCUAGAGAUUAUGAGUGGAAAGAAAAACACUGGUCAUUAUGGCUCUGAUAAUAUGACUCUUAUUGGAUAUGUAAGCUCCUGAUCUUCUCCUAUAUCGCUUUGUUCAUUAUUGGAUAUUUCUGAGCCAAAACUAGUAUCUAAAACAUUAAUGUUGACACAAAGCUCCUUGGCACAUGGAUUGCUUUCAUUUUCAGGCAUGGGAGCUGUGGAAAACAGACAGAUUGCUGGAGCUGAUAGAUCCAUCGUUGCAGAUUUCUUCUUCAUCCAACCCUGGAAGAUACAUUACCAUAGGUCUCUUAUGCGUCCAGGAAAAUCCAGCUGAUAGACCAACCAUGUCUGAUGUUGUUGCAAUGUUAAGGAAUGAACAAAUGUCACUAACAUCACCAAAAGAGCCUGCUUUUACAACUUGGAGAAAUUUCUUGAAUACGAGCUCAGAGGGUGGUCAUUUCGCAGUUUGUUCUACGAAUGAUGUUACUAUUUCAUUAUUGGAGGCCCGUUGAAGCCUCCCUCCAAAAGAGAAGAACAACUUUGCAUGAGCCAUUUCCCAACCUUGUGAUCCUUGCUUUCCAGGCGAAGUUCUUUUCAACUUUUUGUGUCUUCUUGCAAGAGUACAACAGAAUUGUCAACUGGGAUCAUGUUUUCUCUAUUCAAUGCGUGUUGGGGUAGGCCAAGCAACCAAGACCUCCGAACUAGUAUCAGAAGUUGCAUAGCCUGUGCAGUUGCAGCUCUACAAGCUCUCAUUUUUGCACUCAAGCAAGCCUAGAUUUGUAUACAGUCUUGCUCUCCCAGCAUCUGUUUAAAAACUCCUGGUUCUUUCAAAACAGCCUUGAAUUUCUACAAAAUAAAUCUAAUAAAUUUCAUACCUCUCUAAUGCCACAACACUCAUCCAAUUUUGUCCUGGUUUGGUUCUAAUGAAAUUAAUUGAAAUAUUAAAUUUUUUCAUGGGCCUUAGUCAUCAAGAGAUCCAUAUGUCAGUAGUAAAUUUAUCCUAAUAAUCUCGCAUCAUAAAUUUAAAGUUGGGUCGGACAGAAAUUCCUCUAGGAAAAAGGGUAGCAAAAUUUUUCAGUUGAAAAUAGUUGAGAAGUUAAGAAAGUGUUGCAAUCCAAAUCAAAAUGGAAAAGACAAUAUCCAAUUGUCGAUUCAAUGUGGCCUGAAGUAGGGUAGAACAGCAAUCACCAUUAAAAUUUCUCAAUUAGAUGCAAUGAGCCAUACCAUCACAAUGACUGUCCAAAUAUUGUCUCAAUAUUGUUCAUGUAGUUAUAGAUAUUGUUCACUCACAUAACUAGGUGCAUGAAUUAUUAGGAUCAAAUCUAAUCUCAAGAACUAUACAUCCACAGAUCCAAAUAUUCACCAAGCAUGCAUGCAACUGCACAUUCUAUUACAAUUUAAAUGAAUUCUUAACGAGCUUGCAUCAAAGUAAUUGUCAUUUCAUCGACCGAUACAGCUCCUAUGCUUGCAGAUGACGAAUAUGGAAGAUUACUACCAUUAUUAACUUUUUUUAUGACAAAUGCAGGCUGUUUAGGAGAAACUGAAGGCAGUGCCGUUCCAUUUGAUAGCAUGGAAAGAACUUGGGACAUGGUUGGCCGAUCACUCGCCUGUUCUUGAACGCACAAAAGGCCAAUUUGAAUGCAUCUCAGUACUUCAUCUUGAUUAUACGAGUCCCUCAUUGAUGGAUCAACUAUUUCCAUGGCCUUAUCUUCUUUCCACAGAUCCCAAACCUUAGGCGUAGAAUCAAGCACAUAUAUCAAAAAACAGAGAGUUUUCCUUUUCGUCAAUCAUAAAUAUGUUAGCCAUGUCAUCGAAUUAGAUUUCAUGACUUCAGAAUUAUGCAAGUGUGCUUACAUAUCCAAUCAAAUUGAUAGCGUUAUCAUGGAAAUAACUGCUAUUCUUUCUGCCGCUGAUAAUCUCCAAGAGCAAAACCCCAUAACUGAAAACGUCUGAUUUAUCAGAAAAGAGCCCUUGCAUUGCAUAUUCUGGUGACAUGUACCCACUGCAAUCACACAUAUAUCAUAUUAAUUAGUACUAUGCUAUUGCAAGUAAUCUCUUCAUAUUAGUAUGCAUUCCAACUUCAGUAGUCUGCAAACUGAGGAUCAGACUCAGAAGUAGCUGACUAUUUAAAAAAAAAAAAGAAAAGAAUCAGAACACUUACUAGGUUCCCACCACUCUGUUUGUGUUAGCCUCCAUUUGACCUGCUCCAAAUAUUCUAGCCAUGCCAAAGUCUGAUAUUUUUGGCUCCAUACCAGCAUCUAGUAAAACAUUGCUUGCUUUCAGAUCCCUGUGGAUAAUUCUUAAUCGCGAAUCCCGGUGAAGAUACACAAGUCCCCGAGCAAUGCCUAGUAUUAUUUCAAAGCGUUUUCUCCAAUUGAGCAAUGCAGCUUUUUCUUUAUCUGGACAAUGCAUAUCGACUAUCCAUCACAUUUUCAUUCAGCAUCUUAACAUAAAUUCUUAUUCAAAUUGAGGGGUGAAAAAUAAUUUCUCAAGGCUGAAGGAAGAUUGAUGAACAAAUAUAGGGCGGCAUGCAAUGCCACUUUUCCGAAUUGUAGAAAGUUAUCAUCGUUUUGUGCUUGUACCAAAUGUUUUUCAAUUUCAGAAAAUGAGAAUGUGCGACCACGUAUGCACAAGAUGAGUAUAGUACUGCUGAUAGAAGCAUACCGAAGAUGAAAUUGUCGAGUCCCUUAUUUGGCAGGUAUUCAUAAACUAGCAUUUUCUCAUCUUGCUGGAUGCAACAUCCCAAAAGCUUAACAAGAUUCCUGUGCUGUAGUCUUGCUAUCAGUGUAACUUCAUUCUUGAAUUCCUCAAUCCCUUGUCCUGAACUUUUUGACAAUCUUUUGAUAGCUAUUUCUCUACCAGUAUGCAGUCGACCCUGAAAUUAGAAUCUAGAAACCAAUAGGUUAUCUUGUCCAGAAGGUAGCAAAACAAGUGGAAAACUGAAUUUAUCAUGGACAAGGAGAAGUCACCAUGUAAACUGUUCCAAAUCCACCCUCUCCAAGUUUGUUAGCAAGGGAGAAAUUGUUGGUUGCUGAAGAUAUGGUUCUUAGGUCGAAAACGGACAAAUCUGUAUUUUCAUCUAUUUCCUUUGUUGUUGAAGAAGCUCCGUAGGACGAUCUUGGACUAAUGUUAAAGCUGAGCAGCCGCUUGAUGUACUGUCUUUUACCUGCCCUUGUACACAAGCAUUUCAAGAAGUCAUAAUGGAAUUCAGAGAAUUAGAAGAAAAAUUCUAAUCGGUAAUGGUUGGUUUAGUUCUCUAAUUAGGUUCUCGUGGAUUGAAGUCAAAUUGUUGAAGCUUAAAGUCAUCGUGUCAUGAUUUUUUGUACCCUGAACUUUGAAGAAAAGAUCAGAAAUUUCUGAGCUUUUAAGUAUGUAUAUCUAUGAAGCAAAAUUUUACUGCCAAAUCCAUCUUGCAAUAGAAAGAUACAAAUGCAUUAUUGUAAUUCAAAGUAAUUUGUUUACCUUUUCUAUUCUUGAGUACCACCCAUGACAAAAAUAGCAGUAUGAGAACUCCUGCUGCAGAUGCUACAACAAUGAUUACCAACUUUUUGCUCCGCGAGCCCUUUGAACUCUUUAGAAAUUCAGCUGCAAAGAUGGAAAGACCACUCAAUUGAUUAGCUCAGCAUGUUGCAAACAAGUCCAAUUUGUAAAUAUUUAAGAUUAAAAAACCUGGGAAGUUCCUAAACUAAUUUAUUUUUGAUCCCUCAUCUAAAUUUUGUUUCUGAUUGGCCUUAAACAAUUAAAAUCACAUCCUUUAAGGACUUCGGUGACUUUAGACAUAAAUUUAGCCGAAUUUAAAGGGCUUUUUUGUCAGUUCACAAUUAAAGUAGUGGCACCAGCAUUAGAAACCCUAAAAAAAAAAGGCAAUCCUUCAACGACUGCUAAAGGAUUUGAAGAAGAAGAAGAAGGACAGGGUGUAAAAAUGAAACUUGAAAAUGCAUAGCCAAUAGAUUGUACAUAUGGAUAUUGGAGUGUCUCUUUUGUUAUUGGAUUAAAGGUAGCAACGGAUGAUUCUUUGUCCAUUAGCAAUGAAUCCUCCUUGGAAUAGCAGAUUGCAUGAUCUUUUAGUGCCUUGGGAACUGAAAAAGAGUACUUGGCAUUCCACUUGGAAUCAACAAAGCCGUAGAGUCCUCUUGAUCUUUCCAGGAAUAUUAGACAUGGAGAGAAUGUGUUGGUGGUCCUCAUCGGAAUGGUGGAGUCGCAGAGUCUGUUGACACAUCGGAAGUUUAUACAGCCAACAAAAGAAAGUUUUCUAGCAGUGAGAGCAAGUAUUUUUGAAGGGACAUCACACAACAAUUUCCUUUAUUUUGCUUCUCCUGAUCUAUUCCCCACCAAACUCUUCACCUUGAUUUCCUUUUGUUCCACCUCCAUCCGUCCUCUUAGUUGUUCUUCUUCUUCUGAUUUCCCAGAGAUUCUAACUAUUUCUUGCUGAUGAUUACUAGUGUCUCCCCUAUGAUGAUUAUCCUUAAAAAAAAACCCUAAAAAGAGGCAAUCCUCGAUUUUUCACAGGAUUUUUUGAAGAAAAUCUAACGGUGUUUUGAAGCAAUUGAAGGGCCGCCUCUUUUUAGGGAUACUUAGUCUUGAUACUUCAAUUGUAAACGGAUCAAAAUACCCUUUAAAUCCAGCCAAAUUUAUGCUUAAAGUAACUGAAAGUCCUUAAAAUAUGCAAUUUUAAUUGUUUAAGGACCAAUCAAAAAUAAAUUUUAGAUAAGGGAUCAAAUGUAGACAAUCACAAUAUUUUAAAGACUCCCCAAGUUUUUUACUCAAUAUUUAAUUAUCUCCUUUCCCUUUUCCUUUUCUUACAGAAGUAAGAAAUUGUUUAAUUAAACCUAAUCUCAAAUUUAACUUCGAAAGUCGGCAAAUUUUGAGGUAAAUCUGGGGACUUAACUAUCCAACCCUUGACCCAGUUGGGAUCCUCUAUACCACUAUUCGGUGUCAAAUUUAGUGUCAAUUCCACUUAUCAUAUAAUAGUAGAAAAAAUUUAAAUAAAUAGCACAUGAUAAAUUAAAUAAAUAGGACAUUUGACCUAAAUAUAAAAGUGGCACUGAAUUGUUACUGAAAGAAUGACACUGAAAAUCUUAUGUGCCCUUGACCCCCCAAGAACGAUGAGCAAGAACGACGAGGGAUAGACAGAAUAGAGAAGCUAUAAGGAAGCUAUAAGGCUGCUGCUGCUAAGGUUAAGACCCCGCAAACCUCAGAAAUCGAUGUCAAUCAUUCAGAGGAAAGAAAGUCUCGAAACAUCGACUGCCGGGCUUGACUCCGAGUCCAUUUUUCCUUUUUCCAUAUCACUUUUGAUUCGUGUAUGGAGUACGUUUUUAUCAGUAAUGAAUUCGUCAUUGACUGGAUGUCAAAAUGUGAUUGAAUCGUCUCUAGCUAACUCACUGACGAAAUCUAGUGCUCCUAAUUUUCUCACUUUUGAGUCCCUUUCAUGGGAAUUGAAACAAGAAAUCACAAAGAUUGGUAAAUGAACAAUUGAUAAAGAAAAUUGACAGCUUACCUAACUCCGCGGCUGUAACUCUGAUGUAAACAUCCUGGCCCCCAUUGGAAAACUGCCUGAUAUCUAUCAAGCUCCCGUACCAAGUGAUGCAGCCACUUCCACCACGACUGAUAUUAGCACUUGCAUAAGCUGUGCAUGAACAAUUUCUUAAGCACAAAUCCUGGCACUCUUUUGAUCCCACACCCUCAUUCACUCUAGCAUUUGAAGUGUCAGGAACCUUCACAAAGGUCAAUUUUAUGAAUCCGUCAGUGCUGUUUCCGCACGUCUUUUCUCCUUGCUUUCUGGUGCACCCAUUGAUUGCAUCCCUCAGAUACCAUUCACUUUUCACCUUAGGCACAAAACCUGGAAGACAUUUACACUCGAAUUCACCCAAAUUGUAAGGGUCACAGUCACUGAAUGUGCCACAAUGGCUGUAAUAGUCGCAUUGAUCCUUGGGGGCAGACCAAAAUUUGACCCAGCUAUGCUCACCUCCUUGCCAAGUUAGCCUCUCCAUGGUCCCUGAUUCAUUUAAUGCUAAUCUAGAAAAAAUAUUGGGAUCGUGAAUACUAUAGGAGAGGCUAACUCCAUCAUUAUUAUCGACAUAGCUAACUGUGAAGAUGAACUUUGAAGUCAUGUCUGGUACUCCACUCAAUUGGAUCCCAUUCCAUGGCCCUGUUCGCCAUAGCCGGUCUGAUCGUUUGUACAAAAAGAAUUGGGGUGAGCCAUUUAGCUCCAUGUUGAAACGAAAAUCACCCGUCCCAGGAUCAUCUUGUGACUUCCAAGAGGUCAGGACUGUCUUAAAUCCAGAUGUCCGGUUCACCCCAAGUUUCAUGUGAGGAAGCAAAGUAUUAGUGGGAAAAUCAAAACUUUGCCAUGCUACAAUGCUUCUGCUUUGAUCUUGAAACAACAUCAAAUUCCCUGUUUCAGUGAGCUGAACAGAAGAAGAGCUAGUGGAUAACAUGCCUGAAACAUUGGUGGACCAUAACAAAAGGUUGCUGGAUUCAUCGCGUAGAAUAAGAUUUCCUGAUUUUUCAAUGGAUACAACUCCAUUGGUGCCAUUUACGGGACUGUCCCUAUUGGCUACCCAGACAACAGUUUGUUCUGGAACUUUGUUGUACCAGAUGCCGAGAUAUCGGUUUCCAGAAAUUCCAGGGCUAAAGAAACCAAAAGCAAAGGAGUUUCCACUGGAAACUAAAAGAUCUCCAUCUUUGAAAGAUUGGUUUUGUGUGAUGGAGUCCUUGGAAGUGCAAUACUGGAUAAGAAUCAAGAGGAGAGAAACCAAUAAGUACCUUUUCCGGUGUUGCAUGGUUCCUUCGAGGCUUCUUGCUUUUGGCAUUUGGAAGUUUGAAAGGGAGUGUGUUGGAAUGCCACUUUUGUGCAUAGACUCAUCAAAUACAUGUGUACAAGUCGUUGUGAAAAUAGAAUUUAAAUAAAACAAAAAGAAAAUAGUGGCCUUGUUUGGCAAGCAAGUUUUUGACCAAUUUUAUCUGUCACAAGUUUUUUAACAAUUUUAGUUACAAUAAUCUUAAAAAACUUCUCAAAAUUUUUAAACUAUACAUUUUAAAAUAUUAAAAAAUUUACACAUUUCAAAAAAUUUUUUUACAAUUUCUACAGUAAGUUACAGUAAAGUUUUAGACAAACAUCCAAAAAAUUCAUUCAUCAAACGGGGCCAUUAUUUAAGGAGAUUCUUGAAACAUAGGCAGCAUGUUAAUUGAAAAAAUGGUUCCCAUGAGUUCACUAACUUUCUGACUUCUUCACUUAACGGAUAUUGUGAGCUGUAUUCUGCAAAGUUUUAAUACUAAGCACUAAGCAGGACACCCGUGCAACUUCAGGUGUGCUUUCCUACAAAAAAUUUCUGAAGUGCUCAUAAGUUAUGGAAAGGGAAGUAGUCCAACUAUAAGAUAGUGAGAUAUCUAUGAUCAGGUUUAUGCUGAUAUUUACACAAAUGAUAUAUUUUUUUUUAAGUGUAAGUGGAAGGGCUCGAUCCGAAACCUUUUACUUGGACUCUCUCUCGAGUCAUCCAAUCCAUUCCUCCCCUUUGCGACUGACAUUGGACUCUACUGAUUGUUUUUUUUAUUUUUUUGAAAGUUUUAGAGUUUCUUUUAGUAACUAUUAGUACUAUUGACAACAUUUUUGGGCUUUGUAUCAUCAGCAAGUAUGAAAUUUCCAAAGAGCCAGUAUCAAGCAGACUCGGGGCACGGACGGUUGCAGGUGCAACCGUCCCAGGCGGUUUUGGUCAUUAUCAACUGCGCGUAACUUUCUUUGUACAUCGUGUAACUUUUUUUGCACAUCGCGUAACUUUAGAGCAAAUUUUUGUGGGAGCCCACACAUGGCGUGGAAAUCGAGUUACACCUUGUAAUCUCAGCCGCACAAAAUUUUGAGGCCAAAUCAUGGUCAUUAACCGCUCAGGGACAGUUGCACCUGCCCCAUUUCCGUAUCAAGCAUUCAAUGCUACGGUGAUAAUCAUAAGCCUCUCUUUAAUUAAUGCAAUGAGGUUCAUCAUAUUUAAGUAAUUGAUUGAUACGUACCACAGAAGCAUUGGUACCGUCUGGUAGAUUUUUCAACUACAAAAACAAAAAAAAAAAAGCUUUCUCUGAGGGUCCAAUUUCUGCAGGUAUAACACAAAGGUAGCAUUUUGUGAAAUAGAAAAAAGAGGAGGUAUGGUAAUGUAAUGUGCACGUAUUUACCUUUGAUUUUGCAUUUCGCAUUAGAACAAGUGUCCAUCAAACGUUGAAGAGUCAGAAUCACAUUAAAUUCGAUGUACCUGUUUCCAUUAAUACUGACUUUUGCCUCUCAGUGUAACUUUUGCACCAUUUAAUCCAUUUUUGCUUAACAUCGCCAUAAAAAACUUGAUCAAAAUAUGGGAAAUUACUGCAGCCCCCCCCCCCUCUUUUCCUCUCCUCUUCCUUUCUAAUUUAGAAGCACAAAUGCUUUUUCUGCAAUUGUAUCAGUCACUUGCCAUUUCUCCUUCAAGUGAUAUUCUUGAAAUUCAUAGUCAAAACUACACAUGAACAUUAGAUCACAUAAAGGUACUGUAGUUGCACUCUGCGUACAACUAUGGUAAAAGUUGCAAUGAAUUUUGGUUAUCUACCCUCGAGUACAGUGACAGUUACGUCACUGGUUGGGCGUUUUUCGACUGGAUCUUCAGUAUCGUACAUACUCCUCUCACCAUAGAAACCUGCAGGCUGUUUGGGAUGGGGUAGCACCAUAUUCGCACUAUCCAACAUCAACACCACAGAGGACAUGGUUGGUCUGUCUUCAGGGCAGCGCUGCACGCACAAGAGGCCUACUUGGAUGCAUCUUUCUACCUCUACUAUGUUAAAUGACUCUUCCAUCAGCUCAUCGAUUAGAUGGCAAGCUUUCCCCUCACUCCAGAUAUUCCAGGCCUGACAAGCAUAGUUCAACAACAGAUAAACGAAUUUUUUUUUUUUUUUAUGCACAGACUAUUUGUCUGUAGGAAGGAAAAUAUAUGAGCUUACAUGUCCCAAUAGAUUAAGGUUGUGAUCAGGACGAUAGAAAUCUCUGUUCCUUCUGCCACUAAUUAUUUCCAAGAGCAAUACUCCAAAGCUGAAGACAUCUGAUUUCAUUGAAUAUAGCCCAUUGGUCACGUACUCAGGUGCCAUAUAACCACUAUGUAUGUUUAAAGAGUGUUAGAAGUCACAAACGAAGAAAGAAGUGUUGGCUCAAGGAAGACUCUUAAGGCCCGGUAGAUUAUCAAAGAAACGAUAAGCAUGCUUACUGAGUCCCGAUAACCCUGGUGGUUUUGGCUAAAAGCUGCUCCUCUUCAAAAGCUCUUGCAAUCCCAAAAUCAGAAAUCUUGGGAUUCAUCUCACUGUCUAAAAGAAUGUUGCUAGCUUUCACGUCCCUGUGAAUGAUCCUCAAUCUUGAAUCUCUAUGAAGGUAGAGAAGCCCCCGGGCAAUCCCAAUAAUAAUGUAAAAUCGCCUCAUCCAUGUAAGCUCUUUCCUUGUGGUACAAUCUGCGGCAACUUCUAAUCAGAUGACCAGAUAGCCUUCUAAUAUAGAGGAGGGCAUCAGGAAAAACAGAAUUUCUGUUUCUUGAAGUGGAAUUCAAUAAGCAAGAGAGUCUGAGAUUGCUAACCAUAAAUAUAGUUGUGCAAGCUUUUAUUGGGCAUGUAUUCGUAAAUAAGCAUCCUCUCUUCACCAUGAAUGCAGCAUCCCAAAAGUCUAACUAGAUUCCUAUGUUGAAGUUUGGAAAUCAAGCUAACUUCAUUUUUGAACUCAGUCAGCCCUUGCUUGGAAUUUAGGGAGAGCCUCUUCACUGCAAUAUUUUGUCCUGUUGCAAUUUGGCCCUGUAAAUUGCAGAAAAGUUUUCCAAAGUGUCAUUCCUGUUCAAUGUGCACAGUUAUUUGUACAUUGAAUUAGACCCCUGAUCUCUCUCUCUCUCUCUGUGGACGGUGUGUGGUAACUACAAGAAAAACAACAUUCCUGUUUGUUUAUGAUGACAAGUCCAGGAUUGAUUGCAGUGGAUCUCUCUAUCUAUUUUACAGCUCCCUGUCUAUAUGAGCCCAAUGAACUCCCGCCCUUUAUAUUUGUUAAGAAUAGCUAAUGCAGUUGCUUGUUUUUUAGUAUACCUUGUAAACAGGUCCAAAACCACCCUCACCAAUCUUGUUUGAGUCAGAAAACUGGUUGGUUGCUUCUGCAAUGCUAAUCAUAUCAAAAGUCGGUGAUUUGAGCUCUCCCAUACUACUAGAUCUGGGCUCAGGUUUUCUUCCUACAACUGCAGUUUGUUCAACAAUAGACCAAAAGUAGCAUAGAAAAGGGCCUUGGAAUCUCACAUUAGAUUAAACACAUCAAAGAAUUACCAGAUAACCACAGUCAACAAGGUUCCGUGUAAGUGUGUUUAUAUGAAACUGUGUACUACUUAUAUGCCAAUAUAAGAGUUAAAAAUUGAAAUGCCGCAGCAAAGUUCUUAAAAAAUUCUAUACAGAUGUACAUAUUUGUUUCUGCCACCGGAAAACAGUAGUGUGAAUUUUGUUGACAUUAAUAAUUCAAAAUCCUGUGUAAUACAUCAUUUUGGUAAAUCAUAUGGCAGUCACAGAAGGAAAUUGACUGUCAGAUUCAGGGUCUAAAGCCUGAAACGUUAGGACCUCGUGGCCCUGACACAAAUCAAGAGAAAAAGUAGGAAAGACAGUCAAGGAAAUGGGAAAGUUACCUUUGCUGUAUAAUUUUUUUCUCCAGACAAGAUAUAAGGUUCCAAUAAGCAUCGGAAAUGUUACAGACACAGGAAUUGUUACCAUCAUGAGGUGUUUUUUCUUAGGAUGUGACGAUGAUUCUACAAGAAGACAUGGUCAAAAUGUCACCGCUAGAAAAAGGAACAUCUCCAAAUGUAUAUAGAAGAAAUACUGCUAGAAUACAGAAAUAAUACCAAUAUCCUCGGCUGUAACACGGACAUGAAAAGUCAGACGAUUGAAGGAAUCAUGCCUUUGUAAAUCGAACAAAUCCUCAUACCAGAGCAAGCAAUUACCAUUCUCACCUCCACUGGAGUCUCCAGUGGAAUAAGCUGUGCAGGAACAAUUCUUUAAACACUCCUUUUGGCAAUCAUCGAGGUUCAUAUUAGAGUAGAUAUUGAAGUGCACCGUGUCAGGUAUUUUAAUUCCAGUCAUCCUAAGAAAUCCUUCAUUCUGUGGACAGUUCAAGGGGUAUUUCCUAAUGCAACCGUGUGAUGAAACAAGCAUAUUACUAUCUUCUGGAGCUUUAGGCACGUAACCUGUUAAACAGCUGCAGGGCUGAGUAGUGUAUGAUGUGCAUAUAGCAUUUGGACCACAGCUGUCGUAAUUUUCGCAAGUUUCACCAGGAUGAGUGCGUAUGUCAAACCACACAAGGCUUUUGUCGUCCCAAAUGAAGAAUCCAAUGGUUCCUGUAUAACUCAAAACUACAAUUGAGAAUUCAUUAUUUGGAUCAAACUCACUGUAAGCCUCUUCUGGAGUAGAUAUGAACUUGGGCUUGAAGAAAACAUUUGGUCUCACUGAAGUUCCAUUUAAAAUAUGAAGAUCGUAUGAUCCACUUCGGAAUAUCUUUCUCGUUCCCUUUUUCAAGUAGAAUUGGGGAAAGAUGCCGCGAUCAAUAGCUAAAGAGAAUUCCCCAGGAGAUGGGUCCUCUGCACUCUUCCAAGAUGUUAAAUUCCUGUUUAAGCCAUUUCUAAUAUCCCAUCCCAGUUUCAUGCCAGCUAAAAGUGUAUCUGAAGGAUGAUCAAAGCUCUGCCAAAGAUAGGUCUGAUCAGAUUUAGUAUCACUUUCAUACCGAAGAACUAGAUUUCCCGAGUCCAGAAGCUGCGCUUGGGUAGCUGUCGUGGAUAUAUUUAAGAUAUUUGUAGACCAUGCCUUUUUUCCCUGGGAAUUUUCAAGUAUCAAGUUGCCAUCAUUUCCAAUCUUCAAAAUCCCAGAUGCAUCAUUCAGAGGAGAGUUUCUAUUGGCAACCCAAACCACAGUCUGUACUGGGAUUUCAUUAGGCCAUAUCCCCAGGUACCGUAAAUUAGAGUUUGGAGGAGUAAGAAAACCAAGCCUAAAUUUCUUGCCUACAGACGUUAAGCUGGAGCUAUCAUUGAAAAGUUGGUAUUGACUGAGCCUGUCAUUUGCUGCCAAUGUUGUUGUUGGAUACAAAACCGCAAAAGAAAUCUGGCACAGUAUGUAGAAGAGAUGGCGUCUAGCGAACUGCAUGAUGCUGCUUAUCUAGUGAGCAGUCAUCAAACUGUGCUUGAACUUGGAAGUUAUCGUCAGUUCAAAAGCUAGAGACCGAUUCUUAAGGCCAUCCAUUUCAGAAAUGGCUGAGGCAUUAUUAAUGGUACAGUGGAAAAAAAGGAAAAAAACUGCCAAUUUAUUGCUUUUUGGCUUUGAACUAAGCUCUAUCUUUACUUAAAGUCUGAUAGACAAGGAUGGUAUUGGAGCUUUAUCAGUCAAGCCGGAUGGGUACUCAGUAGUUGGUAGUAUCCCCUCAAUACCCAGUUAAAAGGAAAACAAUGCCAAUGCGGUUGGUAUAGGGUGCGGUUGGGUGCGGUUGAUGGACAGGAUUAAUCUGCACAACAUUAAACAUAGACGGGGGGAGAUGCGAAGAAGAUAGGCGGCAUCAUUUUGGGUAGCAAGAAAAAAAAUAAAACGAAACAAAAUUAAAAGAGCCAACUCCGCUCAAUUCACCGUAAGUCAAGUCCCGCGACAAUAAACUUCCAUAAGGUUUCUUUUCUGGGCAAAUUACACUUUACCCUCUUAUGGUUUAGUAUUUUUUUACAUAACUCUCUUAUGAUUUCAAAAAUUAUACAUAAUCCUCUCAUAAUUUAGAUUAAAGUGUCAAAGUGAUGGAAAUGAUCAUUUGUAAUGGAAUCACCUAAAAUAUAAAAAAUACUCUUAUAUAAAGUUGAAAAUGGUUUAUUAACCAAGGGGGGUUAAGUGUAUAUUUUGAGAAUUAUAAGGGGUUAUAUGAUAAAACAUAAGAUCACACAGGAUUAGUGUAUUAUGUAUUUAUAAGGGUAAUUUUGACAUUUUAAAGUUCCGUUAUGAAUGAUCAUUUCCGUUACUUUGACACUUUAAUUCAAAUCAUGAGAGAAUUAUGUAUAACUUUUGAAACUAUAGAGGAUUAUGUGAAAAAUUGCUAAAUCACACGGAGAUAAAGUAUAAUUUGCCAUUCUUUUUUUUUUUGAUAACUCUUCCAUAAGCUUUCAAUGUAAAUUUCACAAGGUUGAGACUUGUUUCCAAUAUUUUUUUUCCUCCAGUUUUGCCUCUAUCUGAAUGGGAAAGUAUGGGACCUGCCCUAAAGUAAAAAUAUGAGAAAAUCAAUCAAAAUAUCUCUUACAUCUCAUCAAAUGAAUUUUUUUUCCUUCAUUUUUAAAAGGAAAAUUUGACCAUUUGGUCCCUCACAUUUUCUGAAAAAGUUUUUUAGUCUUUCGGAUUCAAAAUCAGUCAAAAUAAUUCCAUAGAUAUAAAAAGAAGUCUGUCUAUUUGAUCCCAAAGCUUAUUUUCACUCAUUUCUCUGACCAAAAACCACAUGCUUGCCUCGCGUGCUCAUUCCUGUGAGCAUGGUUUGUGCUUGAAAUUAUGAGCAAGUGAGGGAGAUGUGUGUUUUUUGGCUAGAGAAGUGAGCAAAAAUGAGAUUUGGGAUCAAGUGGGCAGAUUUUUUCAUAUUUAAGGGACUAUUUUAGCUAACUUUGAAUGUGAAGGAGGGACUACAAAUUUUUUUUUUUUUGGAAAUGUGAGGAACCAAAUUGAAAAAUUUCCCUUUUUAAAAUACUAACUUUAUUCCCUUACAAAGUCAAGUUAGUAAAUUUUGGUCCCAAUCUAGGGUCCUGUUUGGCAAGUAAGUUUUUAAGUGUUUGUCUAAAAUUUUACUGUAACUUACUGUACAAGUUUUUUAAAAAAUUUUUGAAGUGUGUUUUUUUAAAAAAUAUUUUGAAAUGUAUAGUUUAAAAAUUUGGAGAAGUUUUUUGAAGUUACUGUAGAUAAAGUUUUUUAAAAAACUUGUAGCAGACAAAUUUGGUAAAAAACUCAAGUGCCAAAUAGGGCCUAGAUUUUUUUUAUCACUUUUUUACUUUAAAUUCAUCAUGUGACCUACGCAUAAUCAUUUUUUCAGUGACAAAAAGGUUAAAUCCCAUUUAUAAUUAAAAAAUGAUUCUAUUUAUAUUCAUUUUUGCUUCUAAAAGAGUAGGAUAUGGCCCAAACCAUAUUAUUUUUGCUUGAAAAAAGAGGGGAUCCAACCUAAUCCGUAUUCAUUUUUGCCACUAAAGAAGUAGGAUCUAACUUUUUUAUACAUAAAAAAUGACUGUAUAUGGGUCACAUGAAGAUUUCAAACUAGAAAGUGGUCAAAACCUAGGUUGAGACCAAAUUUUACUGAUUUAAUUUUGUAAGGAAUAUAAAGUUAUUAUUUUAAAAGUGAAGGAUGAAAAAAUUCAUUUGACAAAAUGUGAGAAAUGUUUUAAUCAUUUUUCUUAAAAAUAUAUACCUAACCAUGUGUACAAUAUGCAACGAGGUUUGAUUUAAAAAAAAAAAAAGGGACUCGGCCGGAUUCCCUGAUCCUUUUUCCUUUCCUUUUUUUUCCCUUGUCCUAGAUGCAUUUUUCAAAUGGGUUUAGAGUUAACUAGAUUGAGAACAAUCCCGCAAUUAACUGUAUUUGAGCGAAUUUUUCAAAAAAGAACAUUAUUGAUAGAAUUUGGCCAAUCGAAAAAUGCCUAACGACCUUGCAUAAAAUCAUAAGGGAAUUAUGUGGAUAAUAGUGAAAAAUAACAAGGAGAUAAAGUGGAUAGUCAUACAAAUACAGGAGAGUCAAGUGAAUACAGUGAUUCUAUUUCACACAUAGCGCGUUUGAUUCAAUCACUGCAACUGGUGAUGCUUUUCAUCCAUUUUUUAUUUUAUAUAAAUCGAAGGGAUUUGUAUGACUAUUUUGAAACAGGGUCAUACAACAUUAUAUAAAACUACAAGGGUGCUAAUAUUCUACAAAGCCAUUGUGAGGCACUCACACUCUAAUAAGAUGCUUCUUGACGAACCCAGGAGUUGACUGACUUUGUCACGAAUUGGUAACUUCCGCAUUUACACUUUUGAUCCGUGUAAGGAAUUUUAUUCCUAAAUCUACGACUGAGCCUAUCUUAAGAAAAUUGCAGCAGCCGACUAGUUUUCUUCUUAGAGUAGAUGAAAUGGCAUAAUACAGGAUUUGUUAUGGUGGUCCAUUUGAUUGAUUUAAUUUCCAAUCCAAAUCCAUCGUGUCUACCGAUGAUGAAUGGCUACAUUUUGUAGAAGACAAUAAGUAGUCUCUCAAUGGGUAAAAAAUCAAUUCAUGACGGUGACUAUAUAUCAAAUGUCUACAACUACUUCUGAAAAUUCAAAAUUGUAGGGGCCUCAUAUUCCCCCUCAAGCAGGGAAAAUGGUAUUGUCAUUUCGCAUCUGGAUCACCACUCCACUCUGUAGGCAAAUUGACUGAGCCCAUAAAGCAACAUAACUGGACAGUGGACACCAAUACGCCAUUGACUGUAGGUACUAUUAACUUCUUGAGCAUGGCAACUUUAUGAGAAAAAAAUGACGGAUUUUUAAGAAUAUUGUCAAAAUUAAAAAAGUUCAGAAAUUGGAGGUAGUCCAGAGAGGUUUCUGAUUUAAGGGUCGCCGCAUUUUAGGUAAGCGGCUAUCAAUAAAAUUAGAAUUAAUUUGUAUUUAUUUUUGGUUGUCAUAAUUUUGUAUAAUUUGUUCAGAAAUUUUUUUUUUUUUUUUUUAUUUUUGGCUUACAAUGACUUGAUAGGACGGCAGGACCACAGCUAAUACAAUUCAAUUUUUUUUGAAUAGUUUAUAGGCUGAGGCAAAUGGCUAACACGGAAAAGUUAGGAGGCUUUAGCUAGGCAGGACGUCAGCUUUUUGACUUUUAAGCGGCAUCAAAAACUUUUUUUUUAAUUGAAAUUUUGCGGCGUCAAAAUUUUUUAUUUUUUCCACCUUUGAUCAUAAUGUGAUAAACGACGCAUAUUGUCGGCCAAAAUAUUUUCUUUUAAAGUGAGAAGGCAAUUAUUGAUUGAUUUGCGCAAAAAUUAAUUUUUUUAACUGAAAAAAGUUUAUAUACUAAUUAUUACAUUCUAUAAAUAUGGUAUUAUUUAUCAUUAUUGAUUGCGAUAAUAAUAUUAUAAAAUUUAAAAAUAUACUUAGGCAAAUUUUAUUAGUAAUUUAAUAGCAUACUUGAUUAUCAUCUUAAUUUAUAAAUUUAAUAUUAUUCUAAUAUCAUAUUUUAAAUUUUUGAUAAUUUUAAUUUAUAAUAAAAUUUUAGUAAUACGAUUUAAGAAUUUUAAUUUGAAAAGUGUUACACUAUAAUUUGAAAAUUAGUAUUUCGUGUAAAACGUAAAACCCUAAAUACGCCUAUUUAAGGUUACGUUUUACGGGAGAAAAAAUUUGGUCGCGUCGCCUUUUAUUAAAUAUUAAAUAACUUAUUAAAAAUUACAUAUUAAAUAAUAAAAGGUAGGAAGAAUUUUUUGAAGAAAAAAAAAAAAAGAAUGUAUCGCCCUGAUCUUUUAGAAUGGAGAUUUCACUCUCCCGGGCAGAACCGGUCUUUGCAAGUCAACAAUGUCCAAUAGGGUCAGUCAAAGUUUCCUGCAACUGGUCUUUCCUUUUUUUUCAUAACCUUCUGCCCAUUCGUCCUAUUCAAGAUAUCCAAUGGCUAGUUCCUUUGCUAUCUAUGGAUGAUACGAUUUAAAGUGCCACAGCUCCUUCUUCACUUCAAGAAGAGCUUCUUUUCUCUAAGCCCUUCUUUAUUGUCAAAGCCCUUUUUUGUCCUUACCCCUUUUGCUUCGCACCUUAGCAAGUUUCCUUUGCUUUGAAUCGGAAUAGCUAUCCAAACCUACGGCACUAAGAUGAAUUCUUUCUAUUGGCCCUAUGGGUUCUUCCUUAUUUUCUUAGUACUUUUUGAUCCGGAGAUAAAGACAAAUCCUUCGCGGCUCAUGAGUUGAGCGGCGAUGGCGAAGAAAAUUCCUUCCCCGCUUAUUUCAUGAGCGGCGAAGUGUUUUUUUUUUUUUUAAAAAAAAUAGAACCAAAAUAAAUAAAAAUUAAAAAUCUUUUUAUUAGUAGUCUCACGUCUCAAUUGCGGCGACCUCUUAUUCCACAAUACUCCUCACGGAACACCAAUUUUCUGAACUUUUUCAAUUUUGACAAUAUUCCUAAAAAUUCGCUGAAAAAAAUUGCAUCCUUUAUUGUGUUUUAUUCUCGUUUCUUCACUAUCCCACAUCUGCUUUAUCAAACAAUUCUGAUAAAAUCUGAACUGGUCUGUGUCAUCCUCUCUCUGCAGCUGGACAGACCGCAAAAAAAUUUUUUUUUUUGCAUGUUCAUUAGUAUUCAAAUAAUUACAUAGUAUUACAAAAUUAAAUGAAACAAAGCAUUAACAAUGUUUACAAAUUACAAUUGAACUGACGACUUAAAGUGUAUUCAAAGAAGGAAAGAAAAUGACUCGAAACCACUUCGUUGCCUUUCAUGUGCCACAGAAAAUUAAAAUAAAAAAUAAUUAAUGAUACUUUCCAUCCAAUUGGACCGGCACUAUCAUGCAUGUAAAUUCUUUCUUCGUAAUAGCCCUAUAGAAUUUCUCAAAACUCAAGUAAGAUGGCAAAGCUCUUUUGAAAAAAAAAAAUUGGAAAAUGCAAAAAAAAAAAAAAAAAAACUAAGAAUCUAAGAUGGCAAAGAGUUAAAUGAAGUAAAUGUAUAUUGUGUUCAAGUUGAUUUACAUACUGAACAAAUGCAUGUUUUGUUUAAAUACAUGAAACUGUUCCUGCACUGUUUCAUUGGUAGCAGUUUCAGCCUCGAAUCCGCACCGCGCACGCAUAAGGAAAUUAUUCAAGAGAUAUUUAUCAUUUCCUUGAACGGAAGUUACGUGAAUCUCUUUUGGUUCACAGUUGGCUGAGUUUAUGACGCGACGCGUUCUGGGACUGCAUACGUACAUAAUUAAGGAAUGAUGUUCCCACCAUAGCAAUGACGAACAAAUAAGAAAAUUAGUUAACAUUUCUUGGAAGGGAAAAAUGCACUUUUCAUCCUCAAAGUUUACGGGGUUGACCAAUUUCAUCCUCAAUGUUUAACCCCAAACAAAUUUCAUCCUCAAAGUUCCGUAAUUUUGACCAAUUAAGGACAAUUGACGGGAAUUGGAGGACAAAUCAAAUAUUGGGACGGAACUUUGCACGUGAGAAGCACAAUUCGUCAGAUCCAACUUUAUACCCAACAUAACCGGGUCAAACCGAAUGGAUCCACUUUUUCUAACGGACAAAAAACACAAAAUAGCACAAGGAAAAAAGCUCCUGUCUUCUCCUUCUUUCUUCUCCGUUCUCAGCCCUAAAAAUUUUUUUUGCCAAUCGUUUCAUCCAUUUUUCGAGCAUCUGCUGGCAAGAAGGAAGGCAUAGACGGCAUCCGUGGAACAUUUUAGGUGAAGAAAAAAAUGGCAUUGCGGAAGAAAGAGCUCCACAUUUGUCCACCUCCAAAUUACGGUAUUUAUACCCAAAAUCAACAACUACAUUGCAUAAAGAUAUCUGUUUUUUUGGAGAAGGAAACCUGAUAUGUGGUCCCUUGUGUUUGUACUUUUUCCCCACUACAAUUUACGGCUAUUUUUUUUCCAGAUCUGGCCAUUUGCAUGAGGUAUAAAUAAAUCCAAAAAUUUGUCUUGGUUUGAUUAUUAUAGUGUGAAUGUGGUCCCUUAUGUCUGAUGAUAGUUGCCGCUUGACUAUAAAUUUGUGAUGAGAGUGAUUAAUAAACAAUAACACUUGGUAUAUUUUGCCGGCCAUGUGUAUCUGACCAUGUGUAUGGAAAAAGUGCAAGUGGUCCUUGUUUGGUAGUUUUUGUGUGGGUCAACAGUUUGUUGUGCUGAAAUGAUGAAGCUUUUUUUUUUCCUAAAGAGUCUGAUCUAUAUUAUUUUCUUUAACCAGAAACGGGCAGCACAUUUAUUACAUUAAGAUGUCACCAUGGAGGCCUCAUUUCAUAUACUCCUGAUCCCCAUUACGAAGGUGGAGAUUUGUGUGUUUUUGACUAUGUUGAGAGUAUAGGUCUAAGUGUUUUCGAAGUGGAUAGAUUAACUGAGAGUGCUGGUCUAUAUGGUCAUAAGGUGUACUAUGGUUGGGAAAAUAACACCUUUAGGAGGAUAGAAAGCAGUAGGGAGUUGAAUGGUUAUGUUAAGGGGGAGGUUGGGCCAACUAAGGAAGUUAACUUAUAUCUUGAAGUAUCUUUUCAUGAAAUUCUAGUGCAACAACUUGGUUAUGAUCCGUAUGAGGUAGAUGAGACAGAAAAUGAACUCCAAAAUGGUGAUGGUAACAAUAAUAUUAGGGAUGAAGGGCAAGGAAGGUGUGCUGCUAAUAAUUGUGAUAAUGAUUCCAACGCAAGUGAUGAGACUUUUUUUUCAGCUAUUGAUUCAGAUUAUGAAAUAGGCGAUGAUGCUGAUGAUGGUAUAUUUCAUGAUAAUGUUGACAAAAAUGCUGAAUGGUUGGGAGUAGACAAUCACAGGAAAGAAAAUGUGGUUCCUGAUCCUUUGAAUGAAACAGAGAAGGUUCCUGAUUCUGAUGAAACAGAACAGGUUCCUGAUUCUGAAUCUGAUUUUGAAAGCAUUCAUGAGUCUGAUGAUGAAGAGUCUAAAUUGAGGUCUCGUACUUUUGAUCCUAAGCAUAUUGACAAUCCAAAAUUAGAGCUGUACAUGUCCUUUACAAGUCUGAAACUUUUCAAGACUGCUGUACAUAAUUAUAGUGUGAAACAAGGCAGGCCUUGUAAGUUUGUGAAACAAGAUAGAGUGAGGGUGAGGGCUAGAUGCAGAAAUAGUGAAUGUAAUUGGGUUAUAUAUGCUAGAAAAUUAAGUGGGGAUGGAACUAUUCAAAUAAGAACAUUUGAAGAUAAUCACACAUGUGGUUUUACAUAUGAUAACCCUCUUGUGCAUUCUGGAUGGGUAGCUAAGAAGUACUGUGAAGAGUUUAGGUGUAAUCCUAAAUUAGAUUUGGAGCAUUUUAGGAAGACAGUAAUGAAAGAAAAUAUGUGCUCCUUCACAAAAAAUCAAACAUAUAGGACAAGGAGAAAAGCAAUGAAAAUUGUUCAGGGCAGUGAAAAAGACCAGUACAGCAAAUUAGGAGUUUAUAUGCAUGAAAUUCUAAGAUCCAACCCUGGUAGUACUGUUAUAAUGAAAACUGUUGAUGGUUUUAGAGACUCAAAAACAGGGAAAGGCAGAUUUGAGAGGCUGUACAUCUGUUUUGCUGGAGUGAAGCAUGGUUUCCUAACUGGAUGUAGGCAGUUUAUUGGAGUAGAUGGUACUUUUUUGAAAGGAUCAGUAGGAGGAGUUUUGCUAGCAAUUGUUGGAGCUGAUGCCAAUAAUGGCAUUUUUCCAAUAGCAUAUGCUGCAGCAGAGGGUGAAAGUAAGGACUCAUGGUGCUGGUUCUUCAAACUAUUGAAAGAAGAUUUGAAGAUUGAAAAGGAUUAUGAGUGGACAAUAAUGAGUGACAAACAAAAAGGUCUAAUUGAAGCACGUGAUAUGAUUUUUCCAAAUGCAGCCCACAGAUUUUGUGUGAAACACUUGCACAAUAACUUUUCAUCUGCUGGGUUCAAAGGAGAAGGUUUGAGGAGAGCGUUAUGGACUGUUGUCAAAGCAACAACACCAGCCCAAUUCAAUAGCAGAAUGGAAGCAAUGGCUGAAAUUGAUAUAGAGGCAGCCAAGUGGUUUGAUGACAAACCACCAAGUCAAUGGAGCAGAGCUUAUUUUAGCACUCAUCCUAAAUGUGCUAUGUUAUUGAAUAACAUCUGUGAGUGCUUCAACAGUAAAAUUCUUGAUGCUAGGGAGAAGCCAAUAAUUGAGAUGUUUGAAGCAAUACGGUUGUACAUGAUGCAGAGAAUGCAAAAAAAUAGGGAUCUGGCCAAAGAGAAGUGGCAGAGAGCAACCAAGGAAUCUUCUUCCCGGAUUCUCGCCGCGCCAACAGGUGUUCAUUUUUGUUCUUAACCCACAGUUGCAGAAUGGAGUCGAUGAACCACUGGAGACUUCAGAACUUCUGCUCCUCAUUUAGGCAAAAAUGAGAGCACAGGGAGCUCCACUGCCAGAUGCUCUGAGGAUGAAAUGUUUAAAGCUGCAAAGAUUGGCAAAAAAAUUUUGGAGUUCAAAGGCAGAGGGAAAAAGGACAACAAUGGAGCUUUUCAUCCGUCCGUUGCAUUUGUUCCUUUAAAGUUAGCUCCAUUCGGUUUUACCCAUUUUUUGUUGGGUAAAACCGUUGGUUGUAACGGUCAAUUGGAUAUUUCCCGUCAAUUGUCCUUAAUUGGUCAAAAUUACGGAACUUUGAGGAUGAAAUGUGUUUGGAGUUAAACAUUGAGGAUGAAAUUGGUCAACCCCGCAAACUUUGAGGAUGAAAAGUGCAUUUUUCCCUUUCUUGGAAAGUCCUGCACCAUUCCCCUUUAGACCACAGUAAUCAUAAUCAUCAAAUUCUAUUCCUUCUAUGAAAAUAAAAAAGUCCAUAUCAUUCGAUCUAGUUUCCUCUCCGCGGUUAAGAGUAAAAUUAGCGAGUUUGGAUGUAUGGGAAAUAAUCUCCUUUGAAAUUGCAUGUGUUAUAUUAGCAAUUAAUUGAUUGCCCUUAUGAGUGUUUUGAGAAGGGAGAUAAUUAAAACUAAAAAGUUCCACAGCACGCAUACUAUUGAUUAGACAUUCAAAAUUGGAAAUUGCCCGAAUGGCGACAGAGUCAAGAAGGGAUAGAAAGAAAUCGACUAUCUUUCUUUUGCUGGGGCAGAUAAACCAAAGAAAAAAGGGGUUUUAUUUCAAUUCUAAAAGCUCAGCGAAGAGGAGUCUCCAGGUCUAUUGGUGACUUGGUGUAUUUGUAUCCAGUCAAAACAAUUCUUGACUGUAUGGACAUUAUCUUUGUGCCAUUAGUUAACUAGCUCAGUUAAAACUUAGAAGAACUUAUGGAAUUUUAGUGGCACCGACAAUUUUUUUCUUUUUUUUUUUGAGGGAAAAUGUAAGAUUCUGUAAGAUAAAUCCACAGCUAAAACAGGGAUCACAUCAUAUAUAGGGGAAAAUAUCUCAACAAACCGAGAUUGUUUGGAAAUUUUAUGUUAAAAAACACUAUAGCAUUUUUAAUAAUGGGAUAUAUGUGAAAUAAAAGUGUGGUUGAAAAAUGUGUUCAUGGAUAAAUAAUAUAUUUUUUAAUAAAAAAUUUUCCCAAAUCAUGCUAUUCAAACAGAGCAAGAUCAGCAAUAGAAAGGGCCAAAAGGAGGAGGAGCAUUGCCCUCACGCUUGAUACGCACAAGGACCGGAAGAGAACAAAUUCAAGAACGAUCAUUCUGACUUUAUGAACCAACUUUUCAAUCAUGGAAUGAUCCUUUGCCAAUACAAAGUUAGUUCAAUUGAUAAGUAUGGGUUAAUUUUUUUUUACAAAAAAUCAUAUAUUUAAAUUCUGUUAUAGAUUUAAGGAUUGUGUUGGUAAAAAAUUCUUGUAACAGACGUAUAUUUUUAGGAGCACGUCCUGACCAAAUCAAGAGAGUCUCCUUAAAUGGCAUUAGAUACAUGUACCCUCCUCGUAAGUAAGGUCCACAUAACGAACCAAUAAGAAAAUGCAUUUAAGAUGACCAACAAAUCAAAAAAUGUUAUAAAUGUAUAUAUGUGCAUUAAUUCCAUACAUACGUCUGAUAAUCGGCAAUACCCAGAAUGGAAUAGAGGUUUUUAAAGUAACUAGUAAUUCAUUAUAUUUAUCUAAAUCCAGUACUGAUGAUGCAUGAAUGAACAACAUCCGUGUCCCUUCUCCAACAACAGAGACAUGAUUCUACCAAGAACUUGUCUUGCCAAGUUAUAUAUUUUGCCAAACAAUAAAGGAAAAAGACUAAUUCUUGAACCCUUUAUGAAAUCUUCUUUGCAGUAUAAGUAAGUGUCCAAAUGAGAUUCUCUUUCAACGAUUUCGUCCACCAAUUCUUCUCCUUCUAAUACUGUCUGAGGCAGAAAGGCCAGCUUCAAUUAUAAUGGCAAAAACCACAGUGCAUUGUUAUGUGUGGUUGAUAGUGGCUACAGCUUUGAUUGUGAGGCCUUCCAAGGCAUUUGAUUGCAUUGGCGCCCAGCAAGAACUGAUUCCAUGCCUAAGUUACUUGCAAGCUGCUGAUCCCACACCCAGUAUUGAAUGUUGUUCUGGUGCUCAAGAUGUGGCCAAUUCGGCUAAUUCGUCUAAAGACGAUUUGCAAUCCGCUUGCCAAUGCUUGAAAUCUGCUGCGCAAACGUAUCCCGACAUAAAUUAUGAUAAUGCUAAGCAACUCCCCGCCCUCUGCAACGUCAACCUCAAUAUUACCAUUGAUCCUAACAUUGACUGCACCAAGUAAGUUUACUUCUUUCGCCCAGAAAUUGAAUUUCAAUUUCACUACUUUAUUUUUAUUUGUGUUUGACGUCCCUUUAAUAUUAUCUAUUAUAUGCAUGUCAUUCCUCUUCUUCUGUUUCUGGACUUUAAUUUCUUCAAAAGGAAAAAAAAAGAAAGAAGAAAGGGACUACGACUCUAUGUUAAGAGUAUGAUUGAUUGAUUUUUGCUACUAUUUCUUGGUCCUUAGAACCAUCUAGGUCAAGUUUAGCUGCUAUUUAACACUACUGAUUCCAAUUGAACGUGACUUUCAUGUUGUCUAUACAUGGCCGCACCAAAGAGCAAUAAUAUGAAAUUUCUUUAGUUUGAAUGCUGUUCUGAUCAAGGGCCAGGUCCUUUUGUUUGUUACCAAAAAAAAAAAAAAGAAAAAAGAAUGCUGUUCUGAUCAAGAAAUCUUACUUCUGUAUCUGCACAAGUUAAUUUUUCCGAAAGAUGUUCGAUCAUUCUUUACCUUUGAAUUUUGAUCACGUGCAGGCUCUAAGUGACAUCGGAGAUUCUUGAAGAGAAAAAUGCCAAAAUUUUCAGUUUUGGUGGAGAUAUCAGCAUGCAUGCAGUGUAGCCUCGUACAAAUUUGUAGUUUGAAUGUACCUCUCUUGAAUUUUUUUUUUUUUUAGUAUGGGAACUUCAGAUUCCAAUACUUGAAGAGAAGAAAGGCAAAUUAACUGUCUCCUUGUAUCCUUCUUUCUUGCAUGUUGCUACCCGUCUUUAUUAAUAUCUUGGCUUCUAUGAAAGAACAGAUGUUUCUUUUUCAUGUUUCGGAAUGGAGCUUCACCUAUGGAUUGAUAUUUCGGUCGCGUUCAUGUUUUACUUACUCAACAUAAAUAUUUGCUGUCAUUUGUUUCUGGAGAGAAUUGCAGUUUUCAUCAAUAAUAUUUGGUCUGUGGUGUGUCAGUCAGUUUUGAUCAAUAAUAUUUGGCCAAUACUCAAUACCAAAUUGCUAUUAGUCAACACUUUUGAAUUUACGCUUUUAGUCCCUAAUAUUUUGAUUUUGAAUCAUUAUAUCUCUUAAAUUUUAAAUAACGACAUUAAGGGUUUUAAAAUGAAAUGAGACGUGAAUUCAAAUAAAAUUAUAUUAAAUGGAUCAUAGAAAUUCUAAUUAAUUCUGUUCAAAAGGGUAUAGCAGUAUGGACCAUCAUUAAGUUAAAAAUUUGACUUCAAACAUUAUACUCGGUCAUUUCCAUAUUCAUUGAAGAAAUGAAAAGUUGGCUUCAAUCAAUGGCCGAGUCAAAAUUUUAGGUUGGGAGGAUGGGAGAUUUAUAUGCAUAGUAAAAUGUCAAUUCACGAACGUAAUUUUGGAAACUAAGACUUUUUUAUAUCUUAAUGAAUACAGAAAUGACAAUGGCCUGCACCGUUGCUUAUAUAAAAAAUUUAGUUUCCAUACGGUUUUGGUUUGCUUUGGCAUUUGUUGAAUCAAUUUAAUUUCAAGAAAUUCCUUACCUACCAUCUAACAAAGUGAUACUCGUAUCAUUUGUAACAGGGUGUUCUUUGUCCCACAAAUUUUCAAUUUCAGUAUUUGACAUCAAGGCCACAGUGGACAAGGUUGGCCUGUCUUCAGGGUGCAGCUGCACGCACAAGAGGCCUACUUGUAUUCUACAUCUGAUGCCGGAAAGAAUUCUUCCAUUAGAUCAUCUAUCAGUUGAUAGGCAGUCCUUUCAUUCCGGAGUUUCCACGCCUGAUAGUUUAUGCCGAUCGUGUAAUUGAGAACCAAUAUGCACCAUUUUAUUCGUAAAAUGUCCCAGUAUGUUAAGAUUGUGGUCAGGAUGGCAAAAAUCUGUAUACAAAUCAGGAACUUUGCGCUGCAUUUUGCAACUAAUCAAGCCAUGAAAUCUGUAUAUAAAUCAAUUAGAUAUUGAUUUAUCUGGUUCUCCUGAGGUAGUAGUGAGAAACUGAGAAUCGCAUCAUGGCUGUGAUUAGUCAUUACUUGUUAAUGUGGAAGCUCAAACAUUUCAGAAUUGAAUUGCUAUACAGAGCUGCUAUACAACUUUACUAGAUCCUUAUUGACAGGAUCAAAAUUUGUUGAACCAAUUUCAGUGCCAAAAAUUUUCUCUACCUACCCUCCGAUAGAGUUAUAGUCAUGUCAUUUGUAGCAGGGUGUUGUUGUUGUUGUUUGUCCAUUGAAUCUUCUGUUUCAUUUGCAGUCCUCUCCGAAUAGAAACCUGGCCGCUUAGGCUGGGGAAGUAGAGCAGUCUCACUAUUUAACAUGGACAGUGCAAUGGACAUGGUUGGCCUGUCCUCAGGGUGCUGCUGCCCGCACAGGAGGCCAACUUGUAUGCAUCUCUCCACCUCUGAUACCGAGAAAGAUUCUUCCAUUACCUCAUCUAUCAGUUGACAGGCAUUCCCUUCACUCCAGAGUUUCCAUGCCUGAGAUUGUAGACAAAAUUUGAUGGAGGAAACUUCAUGUGUAAAGCAUUUUAAGGAUGAAACACCAAAUCCUGUUUACUUACGUGACCAAGUAAGUUAUGGUUGUGCUCUGGAUGGUGAAAGUCUCUGUUCUUUCUGCCGCUCACAAUUUCAAGGACUAGCACUCCAAAGCUAAACACGUCGGAUUUUGUUGAAUAUAGCCCUUUUGUGACGUACUCAGGAGACAUGUAGCCACUGCAGAUCAUCGUAUGUCAGUUUCUAUGAGAGAAAAACAGUUACCUGCUGGGGAGAAAAAAUAUGAAAUCUGGAAAUAGUAAACUUUUAAGUCCCUUACUAAGUGCCAAUAACCCUUGUUGUUUUUUCCGGACUCUGAUCGCCUCCGAAAGCUCUAGCAAUGCCGAAAUCUGAAAUUUUAGGACUCAUCUCUCUGUCUAGGAGGAUAUUGCUAGCUUUUAAAUCCCUAUGGAUUAUUCUCAAUCUUGAAUCUCGAUGCAGGUAAAUGAGCCCUCUAGCAAUCCCAGUUAUAAUGUCAAAACGGCAUGUCCAUGUUAGCAACUUUCUUCUCGUGCUAUCUGCAAGAGCUUAUAAUCAAGUAAGAAAACCAAAUUUCUCAUGACAAGAUAGAAAUCAAUUGAACAAGAUUUUUGUUGAGUGGCACCGUAUAUGUAGAUGUCCAGGCUUUUACUGGGCAUAUACUCAUAAAUUAGCAUCCUCUCUUCUCCUUGAAUGCAGCAUCCCAAAAGUUUAACCAGGUUGCGAUGUUGAAGUUUGGAGAUCACGAUGACUUCAUUUUUAAAUUCAGCAAGUCCUUGAUUGGAAUCUAUCGAAAGCCUCUUUACUGCAAUCUCUUGUCCUGUUGGCAGCUGACCCUGGAAAUGCGCAAAUUUGCAGAAUACCAAUAUAACAGAAGAAAUUUGAAGUACAUAGUCUAAUUUGUAAGAUUGCACAUCAUAAAUGGAUUACUACUACUUGAAAAUACCUUAUAAACUGGUCCGAAACCACCUACUCCAAUCUUGUUUGAGUUAGAAAAGUUGUUGGUUGCCUUUGCAAUGGUCAUCAUCUCAAAAGUCGGUAAUGAUAGGUCUUCCAUUACUCCAGAAUGAAGCUGUGGUUUUAGCCCUGCACUCAGAACAUGUCUAACAUUAUAACCAAACUUGAACUCAAAUUUAUUUCCAAAGACGAAAAUAAAGUCUCAAAGAUGAUCUGUCCGCCUGGUCGCUUGAAGGUCUUAAAACUUUAAUUAUGAAGUCCCUAAUUGACCUGGUAGAGAAGUGUAGGAAUAAGAAAAAGCUAUACAAACUCCCUCCAUAAGAGUAAUCCAGGAGCCGUACACGAUCAAACUCCAAACAAACCCGAUUCAAAACGAAUCUUAUCGCAUAGUCAAGGAACAUGGCAGAGCCAACAAAUACAAAGUGUUUAAUUUUGUAAAUAUUGAUAGAAGUUUGCUAUAAACAUUGAUAAAAGUUUGAUAAUAACAAUCCUGCUCGAUUAUAGGCUACAACAAAAUUUGCAGAAGGCUCUGACUAUGGUCCGCAUAGCGAUCCGCUGCUGGCAGCCAGUGUCAGUUACGGAUCCACCUGCAGACCUUCAAUGUCAAGCUGGCCUAGAUUCUUUCUUUCUCCAUACCUUGCUAGCACAGUUAUGAUUACAACAAAAAUAAAUGUAAAUACUAACAAAAAUUAUAGAAACUACCUUAAUUAAAAUCCUAAAUGAAUUCUCGAGUAUAGAUGAGAGAUUCCUGAAUUAUCUCACUAGAACAAGAUUCAAGAUGCCUAGACUUAAAUGAGACAGAUGUAAAAAAUAUAGCUUUUCUUGAUAAAAGGAUGCAUUUUGUCUUCUGUUAUGUCCUCAUCCCAUCUUUUCUAACGUAAACCAUUUACUGCACCAUCAUUUCUCCGCGAGCAUAUUUCUAUGAUUGUCUCCCUCAAAUUACUUAGCACCCCAAAUGUCUGGCAUCAGCGGGAUGAGCAGAGUUAUAAUACGAAUCUAUUUCUACAUUAUUAGACCAGUUGGAGAAGUAGCAGGCAAUAGGAGGGCCUUACUGUUUUCUCGGCGUAUUCAAGAUAUGAGCUCUUGAUCAGAAGAUACAUGUUUUACUUAAGGCAGUUGUCAUCAGCAAAUAAUAAGUUGAGAACAAAAGAAAAAAGCAUCGACUGUUUCUCCUUUUUUCGGAUGAAAUAGUUAAUUGCUCAUUACUUUGCAUGAGUUCUGUGUCUUCUGCAGUAACAGUAAAACAAUGCGGCAAGUGUUUUCAUCAAUGUUAAGCAAGUAUUUGCUAACAAGCGAUAUUUUGUUAGAACACAUUCUUGAAAUGAAAAUCGAUCUCGAGUUUCUGAAUUUACCUCGUCUCCGUGAUCUCUUGAACAGGAUGAACCAAAAAGUCAAAACUAGCAAGGCCAGAACAACUGAACAAGGCACCACGACUAGAAUGGUCUUUUUUCUUUCGUUAGAGCCUGUUGUGAGCUUUAUAAAGUCAAUAACUGUCAAAAAAUAGAGGUGCAAGAAAAAAACAGAUUAUUAAGAAAUAAUGGAGUAAUAAAGAAUUUCAAGAUACCUAGAUCCGCAGCUUCUACACGAAUAUAAAUAUUUUGAUUGCUUGGGGUAGCUAAUCGCCUUAUAUCAAUCAAAUCCCCAUACCAGAAGAAGCAACCACUUCCCCUCCCUGAAACGUUUGAAUUGGCAUAUGCAGUACAAGUGCAAUUCUUCAAACACUCCUCUUCACAUUCCUUGAGAGUUGCACUGCUGUCCAUCCAAUCCAGCCAGUGAUCGGGAACCUUUACUCCCUUUACCUCCAUAAAACCUUCUCCCUUCGAACAAUUUAGAGGUUGUUUCCUAAGGCAUCCAUUGGACCGUAGGCCAAUUUCCCAAUCCUGAGGUGACUUAGGCACGUAGCCAGUCAAGCAGCUGCAGCGAAAAGGAUCAUUUAUGGUGCAAAUACUGUUGGUACCACAAUAGCCAUAAUUAUCACAAGAGUCAAUAGGAAUACUAUAGAUGACUAUCCAUUCUAGGCUGCUGCUGCUGUUCCAUAAAUAGCUAUAGAUUUCCCCAGAGUAGCUGACCACAAUCCUUGCGAGAAGUGGACUACUUUCAGGAACCUCAUAGUAAACCUCGUUUGUGUUGACAAAGAUUGUUGGGUUGAAGACUGCAGGUAUUGGCGGUGGUAUGGAAAUAACUCCACUAAAGCCAACACCAUUGAAAGGUCCAGUUCGAAACUGUAGAGAAUUACCUUUCCAGAGUUGAACCUCCAGGGGACGUCCAGUACCGCUGAUGCCAUAUGUAAAUUGCCCUGAGGAUGGAUCAUCCAUACUCUUCCAGGAUGUCAAUUUUCGAUUUAUGCCAGUCCUGGAAUCUCUCCCUAAUUUCAUCCCUGGAAGCCAAGUAUCAGUGAAAUUAUCAAAGCUUUGCCAGAUGUACCCUUCAUCAUUUUCUUUGUCAUCAUGUCUCAGAACAAGAUUCCCAGAGUCCAAGAGCUGCAAAACAGUCCCACUUGAGGAUAUCUCCUGAAUAUCAGUAGACCAAACUGUUUUUCCUGUACCGUCUCGAAGGAUCAAGUUUCCAUCUUUAACAAUGCUGACAGCCCCUAAUGAGUCAUUGAGAGAGCUAUUUCUGUUUGCCACCCACACAAUGGUCUGUGGGGUCAUUCCAUGGCACCAUAUUCCUAGGUAUCUCUUUCUUGAAUUUGGAGGACUGAAGAAGCCAAACUCAAAUCUAUUUCUAGCAGAUACCAAUGUCAGGCCAUCAGUUAUAGUCUCAGAUGCAGCUAAGAUAUCAGUUGCCCUGACAACAGAAAGUAUGAAUCCUACUGUGCAGUAGAAAACCGGAAAUAUGACAAUGAUCUUCAUAUGAAGAUCAGAAUGCAUGAAUGGCCGUUGAAUACGCGAGCUGAUGGAGUGGGAAGUAAGUCUAAAACCAAUUUAGUCAACAUUACUUAAGUAUUUUUUAGAACUAGAAUGUUGAGUAGAGCAGUUGUUUUACUUUGAAGGUUGAAGUCCAGAUACGCCAUCAAACUGUGAAUAUCAGUCAAAGGUGUUGGGCACGUUGAUCAUGUAGGUCAACACAAGUCAUUAUUGAGAAAAGUCUCAAGUUUGUUAGUCCAACCUUCCUAGUGGUGACUGGUGAGCUUUGACAAACAAGCAUGUGGAAAAAAACCGAAAGCUUCUCUCUGGAAGCUCACUAUCAAUGGUGAAAUUUGCAAAUGUCUUCUAAAGCAGCAAUCACACUGGAUUUUUCCCAUGAAUCCAGCCAGGUGAAUAAACAAUUACUUGUGGUUCGGCCCAAGUUGAUCUCCUUUAAGCUGCUUCGAGCUUAAUGUACGAGGACCAUAAUAAUUAUGUGGACUAAACUGUAUAGUAACAUUGCAUAAGAAAAGUUAAAAAUUGUCGGGGAGUUGGUUCAUGGUCCAAAACUACAUGGGUAUUAAUAAUCCAAUGGGCCUAAGUUAAGUUCCGAGCUCGUUUAAGCUGCUUCGAGGCCUGCAAGAAUUAUGUAUAGUACCAUUGCGUUCUCUAUGUUGGAGGCCUCAUGUUCACUUCUUGCCGUCUAGAUCCAUAAUGCCACUUAACUUCUAACUGGGUAUUAAUGGUCCAAUGGGCCUAAGUUGACCUCUGACCUCGUCUAGAACCAUAACAUUACUUAGCUUCUAGUUGGGUUUUAAUAACCCAACGGACAAAAGUUUAGUUGGGUAUUAAUAGUGCAAUGGCCCUAAGUUGAGCUCUGAGCUAAAGAUAUGAGGACCACGCCUGCAAUAAUUACAGAGUAACAUUGUAUAAGAAACCAAUGCUUAAUGUAGGAGGACCAUGCCUGCAAUAAUUAUGUAUACUAAUUGUCGGGGACUUGGUUCAUGGUCCACAUUCACUCAUUGCCGUCUAGAACCAUAUUGUCACUUAGCCGGUCGUUGGGUUAUUCAAUGAUCCAAUGGGCCUAAGAUUACAUAUCAAUCUAUUACUGUUCUCCCCGCUAAUGUAGGACUCUUGAUUGGAGAUCUUACAUAUAACCGCCGCACGACAUUGCGCACUUGUUAAGGAUACAUUUCAUACGAUUUUUUUAGUAAUUUAGGGUGCAUUUGAUAAAAUUAAAAUUUAAAAAUUAAAAUUUGAAGUCUAAAUUUAUUAAAUUAUUAAAUUGUUAAGUAUUAAAUCCAAUAUAUUUGUGUCAUUAAUUUUGGAAGCAAGUUUUGCCUAGAAAAUUCAGUAUCACUUAAUUAAUUCGGAUGUUCAAUUUUUUAUUAUUAAACGGUCUGAAGAUCUGAAUUUAUUAAAUUUAAGUAUUGAAUUGAAUUAUCAAACAGUAUUGUUAUUAACUAACAACUAACCAUGUUCCAGGCAGACAGCUCGUCUCCUCGCAAAUCGGAGAUCUUGGGAUUCAUUCAUCUCGCUAUCCAAUAACACAUUGCUAGCUUUAAGAUCCCGGUGAAUAAUUCUAAGUCGAGAAUGUUGAACAAGAUGAUGAGGAGUCGCUGGCUGACAGCUAUCAAAAGUCAAAAAAGAGAAGAAGGUCCUAAACUGUAUGAUAUUGAAAGUCAGCUAAGCAUCUAUCGAAGUCAACGCUCUAAUAGCGCAUCAUUUAGAAAACUGCAGGGCUGCUCAUGCAGAUUGGCAGUAAAAAAGCUGUACUACCUAUUCUAAUUAACUAUUGUAUGGAUUACAUCAUUAUUUGUUAGUCUGCAGAUCUGACUUCUUACGACAAUAUAGACUCUGAACCAAGAUUCAUGCACUUGUAGUAAUGACUAUAUAAAGAAACUCAAGAAGAUGGGAAUGGAAUCUACUACGAUACUUUCCCUGAAUUAUCCAUCAAUUAACUCCAUAACCAAGCCGAGUUAUCCACAAAAUCCCAUUUCAGUGCAUUUGACUCAUGAAACUGGAUGUUUGCAUGAUUCUUACGGACAUUGUAACUGGACUAAAUGGACAACCCAAAGUAUCCCCCGUCCCAUACACGAGGGUGGCUAAAUAACAAAACAGAAAAUUUUGUGGAUGAUAUUUGUUCUACCUUUUGCAAAUGAAAGAAAAUGGCAUCCUCAACUUUUCGAAUGGCGAGUAGAGUUUCACUGGAAUGAUUAAUCGUCCGGGCCGUCCUGUACUUUCAUUACCGUCUUCGUGUUACCAUUUGUCAUUUUGACUAAAUUACAUUCCAAUAAUUUCACUUUGACGUUCAUUACAUGAAACACAAUACAGAGGAAAGUGUCAAAAAGAUUUCUUCUCUAGUGAGGUACUGUACACCCAAUCUCGUCAAGAGGCAUGCAUCUAUAUGUCUUGCCUUGGUCCUUUCCAUCUUAAGCAAGGAGGGAUGUGAGUUGCCAUUUCUGACUCUUCCGUGAACUAUAGCAAUCCCUUGUUUAAUAGAUCAAACAUGACCUCUGGGAGUCCAGAGAAUGAAUAAGUCUUCAGGUGGAUAGAUUUAUUUCUGCCAGCCUAAGAGACUGGGUACAUGAAUAAUUCUAUAUUAAGGAUAAAGAACUCAAACGGUUAAAAUGUAAAGCCUAAUCAGGUGCACUCAACAACUUGAUGACUUAGUAUUCUGUGAUUGAAAGUCGAAAGUAAAGUUAAAAAGAGCAUAAAGGCAUUUUUACUUGCAAUUUCCAUCAGGAAAAGAUGCUUUCUGAAGGAGAUUUUGUGUAAUUUGAUUAUAGACAAAAGUACUGUUUUUAUCGACCCUCAACUACAGUGAUAGUUACAUCAUUUGUGGUAGGGCAUUCUUCACCUAGCAAAUCUAGUCUCUCAUCUCCACACCUUUCCAUAUAGAAACCAGGCGUCUUAGGUUGGGGAAGGAUGGUACUUUCACCAUCCAACAUCAAUAGUACAUCGGACAUGGUAGGUCUAUCUUCAGGGCGUCGCUGAACACACAAGAGGCCAACUUGAAUGCAUUUUUCUACCUCAGACAUGGGAAAUGAUUCUUCCAUUAGCUCAUCUAUUAGUUGAGAGGCAUUCCCAUCAUGCCAGAGUUUCCAUGCCUGGAAUUAUUUGAUAAUAGUUAAUCAUAAAAUUUUUUGCACAAUUUUCUGCAGAUGAGAACUGCAAUGGAUGAACUUACAUGUCCGAGUAGGUUAAGGUUGUGGUCUGGAUGGCAAAAACCUCUGUUCUUUCUGCCACUGAUAAUUUCCAGGAUCAAUACUCCAAAGCUGAAGACAUCUGAUUUCAUUGAGUAUAGUCCAUUUACAACGUAUUCGGGAGACAUGUAGCCACUGCACGCCGACAUUGAAGUUGUGAAAUCAAGCAAUGCUACUUCCUGAAAUAAGAAAUGACAAUAAAAGCAGGGAGCGAAGUAACUUUCUUACUAGGUGCCAACAACCCUUCCUGUUCUUUCGCAACUCUGAUCUCCUCCAAAAGUUCUAGCAAUGCCAAAAUCUGAAAUUUUAGGAUUCAUCCCUCUGUCGAGAAGAAUAUUGCUAGCUUUCAGAUCCCUAUGAACUAUUCUCAAUCUUGAAUCUCGAUGAAGAUAGAGAAGCCCUCGAGCAAUUCCAAUAAUAAUGUCAAAGAGCCUCGUCCACGUUAGUGAAUGCCUUCUUGUACUAUCUGUUAAGAGCAUCUAAUUAAACAUAUGUGUGUGUUUUUCUGACCUAUAGCAGUCACUCCAGUCAUUCUUAAUACUUUUUCCCUAGGAUUUGCUCUUUUACUGUUGUCUUGCAAAUUGUUAAAAAAAAAAAAAAAAGGGGAGGGUUAAGAUUGCGAACCAUAAAUAUAGUAAUCCAAGCUUUUGUUAUGCAUGUAUUCAUAAAUCAGCAUCCUCUCUUCUCCUUGAAUGCAGCAUCCCAAAAGUUUAACCAGAUUCCGAUGUUGAAGCUUAGAAAUCAAUUUAACUUCAUUUUUGAACUCAAUCAGUCCUUGAUUGGAAUCUACAGAGAGCCUCUUCACUGCAAUUUCUUGACCAGUUGGAAUCUGACCCUAUAAAAUGUCAAGUGAGUCCAGAUAGUUUGCCAGGAACUUGAAGUUUCUACACAAAAUGAAUGCUUAUAGUCCUGCACUUCAUGAUACCUUAAAAACAGGGCCAAAACCACCCUCUCCGAGCUUGUUAGACUCUGAAAAGUUAUUAGUUGCUUUUGCAACACUCAUUAUCUCAAAAGUUGGCAAUUCCAGGUCUUCCAUGUCUUUAGACCAGCGCUGCAGUUUUACCUUUCCAGCUGCAAUUGGUGCAACAUUAGAAAAGAAACUAGCAACUGAAAUAGUUAACCGAUAGAUGUAUUCUUUACUAUAAAGUUUGCAUCCUUUGGCCUGGUCUUUGUGGAAGUCUCUAUCUUUCAGAUCCCAUGCCUUAAUACAGGAUCUCAUAAAUUUAAUCGAAUUGAGAAAAAUACUAAAAAUGAAAUAUUAAUACAGAAAAUGUACAAUAAGAUGUCAUAAUAAUGUUGCUUUACUUGUUUAAUCUCAGUCAGUGUUGUAAACAAUGUACUUGAUAAUCCAGAAUCGAUCCUUUAUGUUUUAGCAUGUGUGCAUGUCAGAUGACGAAAAAUACCAUUACAAUAAAAAUCCCAUAUACUUUUUCUUUCUCUUCCACCCCCCCCCCCCCCGCCUUCCCCAAUCCCAAAAAGACACACAUGACACAACCCUUGGAAGAACAAAGUCUGAUUGAUGUGCUUCUGACAAUCGUAUCUAUCUGUAUUCCGGUUAAGUCAUAUGUGCAGUCAGAGAAGGAAGCAGUAGUGGGAUGGCUACGUCCCUGCUUUGAUGUUGUUUAGCAAGGAAAGCUUUGAUCAGAAAAGAAACACAUUCAGGAAUUCAACGAGAAGAUGACUGCAGAAACGCCAAAUAGAAAAUGAAAGGUAAUACAUGACUUCAGUUUUAAUAUGUGGUACAUGUUCUCAGAUCUCUACAUGGCAACAGCUAAAAUUGCUGGUUAUGGUCACUAUUGAUGAGGAAGCAAUUAGUUUUGCAGCUAACAAGAUUUCUGUCAGUGCAAUAAAAAGUGAGUUUACCUUGUAUAUGUGCUCUCUUAAGUAGGAUGAUACAGCAAACUGAAAACAUCACUGUCAAAGAUAAUGAGGAAGUUAACACAACCAAGAUGACCUUGUUUCUUUUCUUUGGGCCUGUUAUCAAAUCCAUGUACUCAAUUAAAGUUCAGAAACAAAUAUUCAAAAGGCAAAGACUGGUUGACUGCAACUGAUAAAGUAGUUCAAGCAAUUAAAGUACCUAGAUCAGAAGCUGCAACACGAAUAUAGAGGUUUUGAGCACUUGGUCUUACUAGUUGCCUUACGUCAAUCAAAUCCCCAUGCCAUAUUAGGCAGCCAAUUCCCUGCCCUGAAACGUUUGAAUUAGCAUAUGCCGUGCAAGAACAAUUCUUCAAGCACUCUGCUUGACAUUCCUUCAGGGACAUACCGGUGUUAAUCCAAAUCAACCAAUGAUCUGGAACUUUAACGCCUUUUAGUUCCAAGAAACCUUCUCCUUUUGAACAAUUUAGUGGAUGUUUCCUAACACAUCCACCAGUCCAAUCAUGGAUUUCCCAACCCUGUUGUGAUUUAGGUAUGAAUCCAGUCAAGCAACUGCAAAUAGUUGGGUCACUUAUCGUGCAAAUACUGUUGGCACCACAAUGGCCAUAAUUAUCACAAGGGUCAUUGGGAAGAUUACCUACAAGUAGCCAUUUUAGACUGGUAGCAUUCCAGACAUAACGCUGCAUUAUGCCGGAGUAGUUUAAAACAGACCUUGUUGUAACAAGUUUGGUCUCAGGAACGUACUCGUAGUAUGUCUCUUCUGCAUUCACCACAAGCUUCAGGUCGAAGACAUUGUUUGGUUCAAAAUUGAGUCCGCUGAAACCAACUCCAUUCCAUGGUCCGCUUCUAUACUGUAGAGAAUCUUCUUCCCAAAGUACAAAUUCCAAGGGCGGUCCACGGGGAUUAACACUACAACUGUAUUGCCCUGGGGCAGGGUCAUCUGCACUUGUCCAUGAUGUCAUACGUCGAAACAGGCCACUGCUGGGAUCCUUCCCUAGCUCCAUUCCUGUUAACCAUGUAUUUGAAAAAUGAUCAAAGCUUUGCCAAAUAUAGUCUCCUGCAUUUCCACCUUUGUCAUUUCUCAGGACAAGAUUCCAGAAUCCAAUAGCUGCAAAAAGGUCCCAUUUGAGGAUAUGUUCUCCGCACCUGUAGACCAAACAAUCCUCUCUGUCUGGUCUUGGAGGAUGAAAUUUCCAUCUUUUGCAAUGCUUACAACUCCUGAUGAGUCAUUAAGCGGAUUAUUCCCAUUUGCAACCCAAACAAUGGUUUGUGGACUCAUCUGAAAGUACCAUAUUCCCAAGUAUCUAUUUCUGGAGCUUCCGGGACUAAAGAAGCCAAACUCAAAUACAUUUCUCGCAGAUACCAAAGUCAUGCCAUCGGUGAUUGCCCCUGGUGGAGUCAGCAUGUCAAUUGCCUGGGAGAUUUCAAUCAGGCAAAUUAUCAGGAAUAUACUGUAACAAAAACCCACAAAAGCAGCAGCACGACUGCCCCUGGAAAUGGUUGAUCGAGACAUAUCACAUUCAUAGCUGUCGAUAUGAAUCUGUCGGGCCAUGAUUUUGGCUAGAUGUUCAAAACUUGGAGUGACAGAGAUGAUCUUGUCUCUGAUUCUUCAGUUCAUCCUUUUCUCUAGAAGGGGUGGCAAAGAAGAAACUAUCACGGGAACGGCAAGUGCAAGACUGCAAAUUGUCCCCGGGUAAGAAACUGAACUCAAGUUCUAAGGCGUAUAACUAACUUCAUAACUGGUUUGUAUCCGAUUCUCGUUUCAUAUGUUUUGCAAUCACUUGGCAGGAGUUUCAGUGAAAUAUAAAGCUGGAAGACGAGCCUGACAGGAUUUUAGUGCUUCAUUGGAGCACUAAAUUCAACUCAGUUUGUCUGGCAUUCUUCAUUUGAACUCAACGUGACAAAGUCGCAGUUUUAGAAAGCAUCCAACUCACACUUCGACACGGAAUUUUCUGCCUAUGGAGAUUUUGAGAGUCAGCUUUGAAUGCAAUAGUUGUAUGUCUUUUGCGUGUUCAAUAUAUACAUAAUACAGUACAUUUGGUUACACCCUUGCGGAAAUUUUCUUUCUAAAUUUUAAAUGACUCUAUUGUAUUGAAUCAAUUGAUGUUAGAGCUAAAUGUUGAACAAAUCAAUGAGGGUCCUUCAGAAUUCUGUCCAGAGCGGUACUCUAAUUAAUCAAACCUGAAUGGUUUUUAAUGUUAAUUAAAUAUAUAGACAAGUUAAGCUCGAUGGAUAUAAAAUUCCAAAUUCGUAUAUAAAAGUAAAUUGAUUCAAGUGUAUAAAAAACAUUCAAAUGGUAGUCAAUUAAAACGUUCAUGAAUUGUAUUUUUUUUUUUUUUUGAUCCGGCAAUGUACCAAUCACAGUGGGGAGAGGAUAAUUUGUGCUUUUCCAGACAAUGCUUUCUAGUCUCAAUAGAAAGGAUCGAACAAAAAUUAAUUCCAUUUUUAAGCUGCUGGCUUGGCCCUUUGGUAAAGAUUUUCAACUGUUUCGUUGACUUUUUGUGCACCAAUUUUCAAGACUUGCACCAUUUCUUAUGUUUUUAUCUAUGUUUUCAGAACCGGACCGGAUAUCGACUCGGUCGAGCUCAGGGGUCAAUGGGUUCAACCGGGUUCGAUAGGGGUUGAACCAGAUGACGUCAUAAAUAAAAUUUAUUUAAAAAUUAAAAUAUUAUAUGUAAAAUACUUAAUAACAUGUUAAUAUUAAUAAAGGUAUAUUCAUAUAUAUUUGAUGUUUCAAAUAUAUUUAAUAAGAAAAUACAAAUAAAUUAGAGCAAUCAAGUAACAAUUUAUAUUAUUGAAUAAGCAUUAACAAGUUUAGAAUUAAAAUUAUGGACUUAAUUGAAAAAUAACACCAAACUUUAAGACAACAUUUAUAAAGUAUGAAAUAUUUGAGAUAUGUUAAUAAUUUUUAACAACUUAAGGAUCAAAACAUCAUAUUAAAAAUAUUCUGCCAUUUCAAAAAAAGUAAAAAAAGAAAAAAAGAAAAAAAGAGACCGGGUUCAUUUUUCAGGUCAAACCGGGUCAAAACCCGGGUUUUGACCUGGUUUGACCGAAUUGUUGAUUUCCCGGUUUUUAAGAUUAACUCGGACCGGUCAACUGGCCAGUUCCCGGUUCGACCGGUCGAACCGAACCGGCCGGUCCGAUCCGAGUUUGAAAACAGAGGUUUUUAUCAAUUUCACAAAAGAAACAUUUAUAAGUUGUGAGCAAACAGUGUCCAUAGAUAUUGCUCUUCACGUCACGGCUUGCACUUUGCCAAUCUUGCAAGGUAAUUUCAAUCUAGAGUCCAGAAGUUUAAUUUAACUUUAUCAUGCGAUAGGUCUUCUUAGAUUAAACAAGGGACAUGUAACUAUGGUCAAAGUCUCGAAUGCAGUUCCAUUUGGAUUGUUAUUUUUAGGAGUUUUUAUAGAAAAAUAUAUUAUAACGAUUUGAUGUAUAUAAGAUAAUUGAUAGGUUACAAUUUUAUCAUCUAUUUUAUUAUUAAUUUCCCUUAUUAUCCGAUCUGAUGUGAAUUAAUUGUUAAAUUCUACUCACUUUUGAAGAAUUGACAUUUAUUACAAGGAAUAGAACGUAAAUACCAUAACAAGUGCCAAUUUGAUAAUCAUCAAGAAGGAGUGUAGGGAUAUUUUUAAAAUAUUAAGACGCGAUCCUUUUUUAUAAUUUGCGAAAGACAGCAUAAAAGAAGAAAAAAGAACGAAGGGCUGGAGUUUUCUUCCUCUCGGGAGGGGGGCGGGAGGCCGCCGCACAGUAGAGAGGAGGCACUACUUUGGAGUUACUAUGUUUGACUUUUCGUUCUUAGUUUUCGUUGUGAUAAUUCUCCCUCGGAUGUGAGGAGAAAUUAGGAGCUUUUGUUGACUUUUCCUUUGUGAGUUUUUGGAGUAGUUCCCAAUUCACGCAUGUCAGGAGUUUUAGAACUUUGACUUUGCCCUUUUCGUCUCUUAGUAGCUUUGUAUGCCCGCAUGGCAGGAACAAUGGGAAGAUUCAACCAUUCUAUGCAGGUUUCGUUUCCUCUGAUUAUUUGAACGAAUUGAACUCUCGGAAAUCAGAGACAAUGGCCGCGACUCUUGCCCCAGUUUUGUAUGGUUUCUUCUCAUUAAGUAUGAACUAAUUUCUGCACUCUAAUCAGGGAACAACGGAUACUUUGAAUCGCCUAAAAUUGUGAGAUCGAUUUAAUUUUAUUUUUUCUUUUUAUUUAUUGGUAUUCGUAUAUUUCUCGAUUGUAGUGUUUACGAUUAUUUGAUUAAUUGAUUGUCUUGGAUCCGGAUAAUUAGUUAACUUGAUAAUUUACUGUCAAUUAAGGCAUUAAAUCCGUAAUUGUUUAAUUGCCUUGAAUUAAUGACAACUGGCAUGAUUAGGUUUGUGUCAGGAGGGAUACGCGGGCUAAUCUAAAAUAACCCUGGUAGUGCGUUAUUUGGUUAGAAUAUGGCUCCUCUAAUACGUAAGGCAAUUGCGGAAUUAAAUCUUACGGGCGUACCUAGGAUUAUUUCUCAAUUAGAGUAGUGGUUAACGGGCGUACCUUAAUCACCGACAUAGUAAGGAGGGGUUGACUGUCAUCGCUUGUUUGGCAGUUAUAACCUAUUUAUUAGUAAAUAAUUGGAUUUGGUUUUGCUUCGAUGAUCAAUUAGGUGCACCAUUGCUGAAGUUAUUUCUUGGCUAGAGCCUUAGUUAUCAUUCAUUUGAUUUUAGUAACUUGUUAUUUAAUUUUUAAUAGUUUCUUAGAUUUUAUUUGAAUUUCUUUGAUUGUCAUCUUCUGCACAAAAACACCCCCUUUGUUACUGUGGAUUUGAAAAGAAACAAUUACUCUCAGUCCCUGUGGAUUCGACCCUGCUUACCACUAUUUACAAAAACUAACUUUAAUUGAGCAGGUUUUUAUUAUUGCACAGGCUGACAACCUGUCAAUAAUAGAAAUGUGUUUACGAAAAUCAUAAAAAAUUUUCUGCGUAAAAUCAUAUUCCAAACAUAGAAACUAUGAUGCUGUCUAAGUAAAGAAACGUGGGGGAUAUAACCGUCAUGUGGUAUGUGUAAUAUUAUAUUUAUAGGUUUGUUUGGAUUGCGAUUUAUUUGCCAAAAUAUAUUUGCUUACAUUAUCAUUACAAUUUUCAACACACCUUUUUAUCUCACAUACAUCACAUCACAAAAAGUGCUACAGUAAAAAUAUCUCUAAUAAUUCACAAUCCAAACAAACCCAUUGAGUAAACUCUUUCUUGUUUGGGCAGCUUUUUGCAGCAAAAAAAAAAAACCUUCCAAUUUCUUGUUUUCCUAGCUGAAUUUUGGAAGUCAUUGACAAUAAUUUCCAAGGUCGAAAUUACCUACUAAAUGGGUCUCCACCUUGGUUCGAUAGAAAAAUUGGAUGCAAAAUAUCAAGCUUCAUAAGUUUUGCCUUGGUUAUACCCACUGCGAGACAGGAAUUUAACUUGAAUAUUAGGUAUUAACCAAUUCGAUCUUCCUCGCUAAAACGAAAUGAAAUAUAUUAAUCAACAUUAAAACGUUGAAGAAUACAGCAUAAAGGAUCUCAAGUUAAAUAAUACACGAAGAAAUGCAACUCUUGAAAUUUAGGUAAAUGAUACUAAAAUAACGACACAACAAGACAUCGUGCUUUAAUUAACAGUAGAACUGGAGAUGUGAGCAUCUCGUCAAAGUAGGUGAAUUCUCUUCAUACGAUCCUACUUGCAAGUAUCUCAGUUAAAAAUUAACAGAGAGCUGAAUUCCAAACCUUGCCAAAUGGGGUAGAGCCUUCAUUCUUCUACCCCUUUCUUCUCUUAUUUUCUCUGACAACACCAAAGUCAAAUAAAAGAAAAUGCUUUUCAAGAAAUCUUCCCCCACUUUAUCCCUUGUCAUCCUAGUUUAUGAUUCCUGCAUAUUUACUUAUCAUGAAAUUGAAUUCUGGUAUCGGCCAAAGCUCAAACCAAAGUCCAAACAAAAUUUACAUUUGAACUGAUUAAUAUGGAAGAGAAAUUAACGUUCUGCAACAUAUACUAUACACUUAGGAAUGUACGCAAAUGAUUGCAUUUACACACCCUUUAAAUUCUUUUAAAGAAAUAUAUACAUGCUAUGAACCAGAACUUAUCGACCAUGUAACAGUGUUACUGUUACAUCAGUAGAAUUAUGCGGCAUUUUCCCACUUGAUGUAGAAUCUGUGUCAAUAACAGUUCUCUCAAUGUAAAAACCAGGUUGUUUAGGUUGCGGAAGAGUUGGAUUCUCACUGUCCAAAAGUAAUAGAACAGUUGACAUGGCAGGUCUGUCAUCAGGCCGCUGUUGAACGCACAAGAGGCCAACAUGGAUACACCUCAACACCUCAGAUGUAGAAGCCGCCCCCUCCAUAAAUGGGUCAACUAGUUUCGAAGUAUUUCCUUCAUUCCAUAGUCUCCAAGCCUAAAUUCAGAGCCACCCUCAGGUCAGUUGUAUUAUUCUCUACAAGAUGUUUGUCAAGAAAGUAUUGCAGUUAAUUUUGGACUCACAUGUCCCAAAAGGUUGAGGUCAUGAUCAGGAUGGCAAAAUCCUCUGUUCUUUUCACCACUAACUAUCUCCAAAACCAGGACACCAAAGCUGAACACAUCAGAUUUAACUGAAAACAGGCCAUCUACUGCAUACUCAGGAGCCAUAUAGCCACUACAUGGAAACAUGGAAGAAUAUUCAUCAUUUGCAAAUUAGCUACUGAUGUCUGUGAAAAAGAGGCAGGGAUAAGAAAAUGUGCUUACUAUGUUCCCAUGACUCUCUUGGUGUUAUCCUGGUAAUGUUCACAACCAAAUGUUCGUGCCAGGCCAAAGUCAGAGAUUUUAGGAUUAAUUUCACUGUCGAGAAGAAUGUUGCUUGCUUUCAAAUCCCUAUGAAUUAUUCUCAACCUGGAAUCUCGAUGAAGGUAUAGAAGUCCCCGAGCAAUUCCAACAAUUAUGUCAAAGCGUUUUCUCCAAUCAAGUACUUUUCCUCUUCCUUGAUCUAUGAUGUAUUCAACUUAUGUUAGCCUCUUUCAUUUAAACAAAAUGAGCAUCAGAAACUAUAGGAAACUUACUGAAGAUGAAUAAGUCCAGACUCCUGUUGGGCAUAUAUUCAUAUACUAACAUUCUCUCAUCCCCAUGAAUGCAGCACCCUAGCAGCCUGACAAGGUUUCGAUGCUGCAGCUUUGCAAUUAAGAUCACUUCAUUUUUAAACUCUUCAAUACCUUGUCCAGAAUCUUUUGAGUCUUUCUUGACUGCUAUUUGUUGCCCUGUUGAGAGGAUACCCUGCAAAGCAACUUAUAUUUGAGUUAGAAUAAGCAAAAUGUCCUACAAGAAAUGUUAAAGGAAGUCAAUGGAUAUGUGACAGACACUACCUGGUAAACAGGACCAAAUCCACCUUCUCCAAUCUUAUUUGCGAAUGAAAAUUGAUUAGUAGCAUUUGAAAUGGUGAUCAAAUCAAAUAAGGGUAACUCUAUCUCGUCAUCUGCAAUUCUUUUGGUAUUCUCCUGGCUUGCAGUCUCUUGUUCUUUAGCUGACAAUUUAGGUAAAAAUCGCAUUAGACAUCAAUGGGAAAGGGAACCAUCCAGCAUCUAACCCCUUAUCCUGAAGAAUCAAGUUAUAUCCCUACUACUACGAUUUGCUCUUGCCGGGUCGAUCAAAUUGCAGAAGUUGAGAUCAUAUGUUUUACAUUCUAUCAUACAACAAACAAUCUAUCUAAUAAUGACUGCUUAACAGUAAUUGACCUCCUAAAUACUAAAUAACUUGAAAGCAGUUAUUCCUCCAGCUGAAGAACACCUGCGCUACAGUUAGAUUGCUAUGCAUGGUGGUUUCAAGUCCCCCUCUUUUCCGCUAGAGUUCCAAAUUUUUAAGAAAACUAGUUGGCAUGUAUGACAAACUCCCACCACAUCGGAUUGGAUUCUUUAUUUUUUUUUCUCCUUAUCUUUUUAAUUCUCGUCGGAGGAAAAAAGAAAAAAAGAAAAACCCUGAGGUCCAAAUUUUAGUCAAGGCAAUAAUCUCAAGAACAUCCAAUGUGAACCAAAUCAACUAGGCGAUGUGGCUUCAUCAUAUCUAAAGAUGAGAUGAAUCUGCAUCGCUUGCCGUUUCAAAUUGCAUAUCAUCAAAAUUAGAAUAUGUAUUGACUAAUGCUUAUGAAAUUGCACAAGAAAAUGACUUUAAUAUGCCAUACUCCAAUUAGUGCCGCGUAAAAUAUUAAGGAUGCUGAAAAAGUAAAUUUGGUUGAACAAAAUCCUAACAGUUUGAGCUGAAAUUAUCCACAAGUGGGUUCCUAAAAAUAUUCUUCUAUAUUCCAUUGGCAUUGAAAAACUGGACGUGACUUUUGGAAUAGGCCCAUUGGCCAUAAGACUAUUGCAGAACAAGUGGAAAAAGGUGUAAUCUGUUUGCGUCCGAAUAUGAAGAAAACUUGCCAGAUGACAAGGAUGGUAAAACAUAUUUGUCAACUGAGGCAUUUCGUCAAACAUUUAUAAUGCAAUAAUAGCAAAGCUAGGGUUUACCUUGACCACCCUUUGCGGUCCAUUUACGUAAUAGACACCAACACAAGAGUCCCUAAAGCCACCGACACCGAUAUUAUCAAAAUAUCCCUUUUGCUGUCAGACCCUUCCACAAUCCAUCAAGAAUGACAGCGAAAUACAUUAGUAUCACUUUUAUUCAUAGAGCCCACAAAGAAGGAAAAAAAAAGAAAAAGGGACGACUUGUAAGACUUUGCAGUUUGCAGUUUGCGUCCUUAAAGUUUUGUCAAGGUUCAGUUUGUGCACCAAACUUUUAUUUCCAAUAGUUUGUAUCUUUGAUUUGAGGUAUAAUUUCUGUUCCAAUAGUCAAUACUCAAUAUUUAACUGGACAAAUGGUCAUACUUGUUCCCUAUGGUGUUGUUAUUAACUUGUUAGAUACAUGAAUGGAUUUUUUCCAUUUUCACUAGAACUAUUAAUUUCUGUAAUAGGUUUAAUUUCACUAGUAAGUUUGUAUUCUUUUGAUAUUUUUAAAGUGCGAAGUGUGCAAAUUUUGAAAUGAAAAAUUUCUUAUCAUUUUAAAGUGAAAUUAUGCAUUUUGCAAUUUUAAAUGUGAGGGGCUACAACCAACAGUUACAAAUAUGAGGAAUAAUUCGUGCAACUUCUUCUUUUUCUAUAGACAACUGAAAAAUGUUUCUCGCUUGUGAAGAUUAAGAUAUGCAUAUCAAACUCUUCUAGACAUUGGAAAAAUUAAUAUUUUACUAUUAUAAAACAACAAUAGUCCAACUACUAUGACUAAAAAAUUUUAGUAAUUUUUUUGUCACUGCGUAGUAAAUGGAAUAAGUUCCUCAUAGAUAGUAGGUGAACCACUUGGGGAGAAUCAUUGAAAGAAUAAACCAUUAGCAGUGUUCAUGCACAAAAAAAAAAAAAAAAAAAAAAAGGUUUUGUGAUGCCAAUAAUAUAGCAAUAGUUGCAUAUCUUUUGUUACCUGAGUGCUAAUGUAUCAAUGAUAUAUAAUAGAAGCUGAAGCUUGGCUGCUAUAGCAAUAUUAUCAUGUUGAGGGCCAAGUUGUAUACCAAGUAGUGAAUCACAAAAUUGCAAAUCAAAUAUACAUCCAGUUCAAAAGUGAAGAAAAAGUUACUUUGAUAAAAUGCAUACCUAGUUCAGAAGCAGGCAUCCUAAUGUAGAGGUCCUGUCCUCCAUAAUGGUAAGUCCUGACAUCUAACAGAUCACCAAACCAGACCACACAUACACUACCAUCAAUCUUAGCAUAAGCCGUGCAAGAGCAAUUUCUCAAACAAGCCGCUGCACACUGCAUUGGAUCAAUCGCUAUUUUGUUUACCAGAAAAUUCGCGGUAUCAGGCAGCUUCAACUUGGAAAACCUUCUGAAUCCCUCUGGUCCACUGCAAUUCAAUGCAUUUUUUCGUACACAUCCACCUGACCAGUCCAUCCUUUGCCAAUCCGCAGGAAGUUUUGGGGUGAACCCUGGUGGACAACUACAAUAAGGGCUGUUAUUGAUGUUGCAAAUGCCAUAACUUCCACAGAGGGCAUACUGGUCACAAGCAUCGCUCUGCACCGUGGCUAUGUCCACCCAUUCGUUUCGCCUGAUGCUCCAAGUUAGAUGCUGAAUAAGUCCUGACUGGUUCAGUACGAAUCUAGAAACAAUUGAAUCAUUAGUGUUCUCAAAUGUGUAGUACUCAUUAUUUGCAUCAAACACGAAUUCUGGUCUAAAGACAGUGUUUUCUUCCAGGUCACCGCCCCCAAAGCGAACACCAUCCCAGGGUCCGCUUCUGUAUUGGAUGGCUGAUCCUUCGCUCAGAACAACUUGAGGAAGUCCGCCAGGAUCAACUCUAUACGUAUAGGCUCCUGUGGAUGGAUCCUGCAAGCUUUUCCAGGAUGUUAAGUACCAUUCCUGGUUUGUUCUGAAGUUCCAUCCAAGCUUCAUUCCGGGAAUUAAAGUAUCACACGGAUGAUCAAAGCUCUGCCACAGAUAGGUACCUGAAUUUUUGCCAUAGUCGCUACCAUUUUUCAGAACAAGAUUGCCAUUGUCCAGCAGCUGCAAUGUCGGAUUACUGACCAGUGUUGCGGAUGUAUUCGAUGCCCAGAUGAUAGAAUUAGUGCUGUUGUUGAUGAUGACAAUGCUUCCAGAUGGUGUGAUUGACAGGAUACCUGAUGAGCUUGGUAUCGGAUUGUCCUUGUUGGCAACCCAUACCACUGUUUGCUCUGGGAUGUUCUUGAACCAAAUUCCAAUGUAUCUUUUGCUCACAUUUGACGGACCAAAGAAGCCUAACUCGAAUUUUCGGCCAGCUGAAGCUAGUGUCCCCCCAUUGUCUAAUAGAACUUGAUUUGGUGCCAAGAAGUCAACUGCCGAAGAAAAUUGGCAGAAGAAGGGUGAAGCGAUCGAGAAGAUGAUGAAUAGGAUGACCAUCAUUCAUGAUCUCAAUCACCGAGCUCUAGAUCAUGUUUAUUGAGUUGAACAAGACAGGAAUGAUAAUAAAAAAAAGGUAAAACAAAACUUGCAAGAUUUGGACUUUGAAUUGUGAAUUGAAUAGUUCAGAUUUCAGAACUGGUAACAAAAAUUCCAAGAAUGACUUUGACUGGGUCAAAUGCUAAGUGGUAAAACAAUUUUUCGUGAUGAGAUAAAAGAGAGAGAAUAAUUGUGAACGCUACUAAGACAAAAAUAGAUGUGGCAAUUUGGAUUGAGAUCCAUUUAUUCAGUUGUAAUAUUGGUUUUAAAUGGUUGAUCAAAGUAAAACUAUUAAAUUAAAUAAAUUUAUAUGAAUUAUCCACAAAAAUCACAUAUAUCCAUUUACUUAAAAACCAAAUUGGUUGCAAAACUUAUUAGCUAACUGAAAUCCCGAAUUUGUUGACUAAAGCCGCACAUCACAGCUAGCUUGAGUUGGCUUGUCCAAGGAAUUAAAUAACCGUUGAGAAGUGGUGCAAGCAGGGAAGGAUGCUUCUAUUAUAAUCAUGGUCAAUGAAGCUGAAUUAUGUGGAGCUUUUCUUGAAUUGGGUCUAAUUUCUGAAGGUUUUUCUGUAUUAAAUGCAUUAAGAAUUUGCCAAGAAUAGAACUUUGAGGUUAUGCAUGAACUUGUGCCAUUAGCCACUAGGUGUAGAUCAUGGAUGCCUUCUCUGAGUGUUCAAGUCCUUAUGAAGAUGAUUUCACAGCGCAGAGAUGGUCCACCCACAUAUUCUCCUCUUUUAUUAGCUAGUGGCAUUGGCAUGCCUUCACUAGAACAUGCCUGAGUAAUGGGCUGUCACUGUUCAUACCUAAAUUCUUAAAUGAAAAAUCUAAGUAUUUUGUCCUCUUUCUCGUCCAAAUACAUCUAAAAUUUACAAGUACAUAAAAAAAGUAUCUCCAUAUUACAAGAAAUGGUAAUACAAAAAAAAAGUAACCAAAAUAUUUAAAUGGAUUAUAAAUGGAUAAUCGAUUUUUAUUUAAUCCAUUUAGAUUCAUUUAUUAAAUGGAUCUAAAUGGAUUGGAUAAAUUUCAUCCACCAUCCAUUAAGUCAAAACCAAUUAUGAACCAUUUAUCCAUAUUGCUAUCUCUAGACAAAAAGCAACACCUUCGGGCAGAAAUUGGUGAGACUCGAACUCUUGGUGCCCCAUUCUGCAUUUUUAGCUAUGAAAAAUUUCUUCCUUACUCAAGAGUCAGGACAAAAAGAAAAAGAUUUUUAAACAGCACCAGAGAGGAUUGGAUCAGUUGAGCAUACAAUAAAUUUCCAUCUCCAAGAUGAACACUUGCAGAAACUUUCCAAACAUUUUUCGUCACUUGGAGGUGCUAAAUUGUCCCUUCCUAUGCAUCCUGUUUAUCUAACCAGCACCAAUUGUAUUAAUGAGACAAACAUGAACAUAAAUUAACAGAAAAUCAAUCACAAGCAUCUAUGUACAAUGUUCAUAUGAUUCCCAAUAUUUGGAGUCAUUCGACAUAUGAACACGGAAAAAAAAGGGCUUGUUUCAGGGAGGAUAUAGCCAAACUCUUAGAUCAUCUUUGACACUUAACAACUAAGCCAUCAGGCAUACCAAAAGAUCUUAGCUAUACUUAAAACAUAUUGUGUUUAUGAUAUUUGCCAGGUUUAUAUUUCUCGAUAUUUCUGUUUGGUGAAGGUAAAAGUAUUGCAGGCUUAUACAAGUCGUCUACUCCAUGUUCUUGAAAUACUAGAAAUUGAGUGGAUGAUGUUAAAGGAUUUUUAUCAACAGCAUAAUUAAUACCUAAACAGCACUUCUAUCAAGAAGGUUUCAAAACGUCAAAUUUGUGUCAGAUGUAUGGAAAGAGGAGACAUAAUUCAUAUUGAAUAGAAACUGAUAUAGGGGACAAGGGCUUAAUCUCGUACACAGAGAAUGAGCUUUGUCUUCAUUAUAUGGAAUAUAGGUCAAUUUAGAUCAUGUAACUGGCUACUACCGUGAGUUGACAGUUUACUGUUAUAAUUUCUACUAGAUCUUUUACAUUUGCUUUCUUCAGUAUGUUGCAUCUUCCUCUGUAGAAAAUGUGGAAGCUUAACUUUGCUUAGUUCCAUCAUUCCAUCUUCGGAAACCAAAAGAAAGAACGUACAGAUGCAACAUGCAUUUGGUUUGCACCAUUUGAAAGUAGACAUUUCUUCUUCUUCGUUUCCUCCCACAUAAUAUGCUUCUCCAGAGAAAUAAUUAAUACCUAAACAGCACUUCUAUCAAGAAGGUUUCAAAACGUCAAAUUUGUGUCAGAUGUAUGGAAACAGGAGACAUAAUUCAUAUUGAAUAGAAACUGAUAUAGGGGACAAGGGCUUAAUCUCGUACACAGAGAAUGAGCUUUGUCUUCAUUAUAUGGAAUAUAGGUCAAUUUAGAUCAUGUAACUGGCUACUACCGUGAGUUGACAGUUUACUGUUAUAAUUUCUACUAGAUCUUUUACAUUUGCUUUCUUCAGUAUGGUGCAUCUUCCUCUGUAGAAAAUGUGGAAGCUUGACUUUGCUUAGUUCCAUCAUUCCAUCUUCGGAAACCAAAAGAAAGAACGUACGGAUGCAACAUGCAUUUGGUUUGCACCAUUUGAAAGUAGACAUUUCUUCUUCUUCGUUUCCUCCCACAUAAUAUGCUUCUCCAGAGAAAACUUUCUGCGCUCAUUUCGCAUAUUGAUUACUUACCCCGAGUGAGAGGUGAUUGACUUGUAAGUUGUGACCAUGUAACCAAAGCUAAUAACUGUACAAAAUUGGAAGACUCUUUGAAUUUCUCAAUCUUAUCUUCCUUCCACUGCUGUGAUAGUUAGUUC
Molecule: long non-coding RNA, 51392 nt
Filed under: Coffea arabica (coffee)
Lineage: Eukaryota; Viridiplantae; Streptophyta; Magnoliopsida; Gentianales; Rubiaceae
Description: long non-coding RNA (CARA_LNC001569)
Source: RNAcentral